UUGUUAGAUGUUUUACCAACAGCCAAUUCAUCAAUUUUAGCAAGCCAUUUUGGUUGUGUUCUCAGCUUAUUCCAGCAAUGCAUGAACUGGAAUGCUCUUUGAUGUUCGUCUUCAGACUUGUACAAAGCACAUGCCUUUGCAACCUGCACACACCAACAUCCAAGGGAUAUUCAUAUAUGAUAUAUAAACAUAAAAUAGUCGAAAUAAAACCUGGUACUGCAUAGUGAGUAAAGUACCUUAUCUUAUAUUGUAGUACCACUCUGACGUCUUAACUCAAUUCGUGAUAGACAUCCACAAAAUUUGUUCACAGCUUUUUGUAUGGUCUCCCACCGAUGCAUCAGCGAAUUCAUGGUACGCGUAGAGGGGCACGUCUUGUGUUCAUUGAAGUACUCAUAUAUACGAGACCAAUACUUGGCACCUUUUUGAUCUUUGCCUACGACCGGAUCCAAGCUUACAUUCAGCCACCCAGAAACCAAAACCUCAUCUUCGUGGUCACUGAAAUUCUUGGAUCUCUUAUGGUUUGGCCUCGCGGAAGGAGCUGCUGGAACUUCUUCAAUUGCCUGUGACUGUUGGUCAACAUAUGUGUUGCUAUAAUUAUGAAAAUCCCCUUGAUUGGUUUCAUCCGUCAUCAUGUUGGAAAAAUAUCCAUUUCCUGCAAGCAUUUAAUCACUGAUAAGCUGAUGAACAGAGGUUCCUGGAAAAAAAUGGACAGACAGCUAGUUCAUGGAACAUGUUCUCUCUAUAAUCCAUCCUCUAGUAAAGUUAGCUGUCAGCACAUAAAUGUCAGUACCACUUAAGAGGAUAAUAACUAAGUAAAGGCCGGUUAAGAAAGAGUUGUGAGAAGAUGCCAUUGGUAACAUGUCUAAAAAGGUGCAUCUGUUGGAACCUGUGCAGCUCUGUGUAUUUUUCAUCUGUUCACACACAGAGAUCUAUGUUUUUAAACUAGCUGUAAUUCCAGUUUGCGACUGAAGUAGAGGUUUCAUUUGUUCUCACACAGCAUCUGAAGUAAAUAUUCUUUUCUACAGUCUUCUUUUUUUUUUUACAAUACACAGGAGAGGUGUUGUGUAUAUUUGUAGUUCUUUUGUAGUUUGAUUUUGACCAGCACCAUGUUGAACCUACCUUCCAUAAUCUGUCUUUGGUUGGAAAAUGCUUCAGUGAACCAGUUGUAAUUGAGUUUAUUUGUAUGAAAAAACCAAUCACAUUUGAAUAUGAUGGGGAACACACAAGUCAUCUGCUACAAAACCAAACACUAUAUCGCUUACUUCACUGUAAAUUAGAUUUAUGAUAUCUAAGAGCUCAUUAUGUCUGUGUCUGUAGGUGCCUUUUAAAUGCCUAACAUAGCAGCCUUUCUUUUUUUGGAGAGUUGGAUAUUAGCUACAGUUCUGACUUCCUGGUGUUGUUAUUUGAAAGAUAAAUGCCUAAAAUAAACCUAGUACUUUGUAAUGGCGUUCUUAAUAAUUUUAGAGCCUUUAUUUGUUGAAAUAUUCAUUGUUGGAUGACUAAUCACUUGAGAAGGAUCAUGGUGUAUAUCUGAUAGACGUCUCUUGUUGACCAUGUUCAGUCAUGACCAAGAAAGGAAUGGCAUUUUCAUAACAUGUUACAAUAAUUUAUAGCCACACAUUUGGUUUAAUCUUGCUUUGUGUUCUCCAAUAUUCAGAUGACAUAGUUUUUUUUUAAUACUUGAGAAGGAUCAUGGUCAUGGGUAUUUAUCUGGUAGAUCAAGCAUCAAGCACAUAGGCCAGCACUCAGCAUUUCAGAUGCACCAUAAAAAUAAUGCACAGCAUCAAGCACAUAGUAACAUCAGCAGCUCAGGGAAGACUAGUACAAGAACUACAAGAUAUGACGGGUAACAUAAGGCUUAAGACUUUCAGCACGAAAGUACAGCCACCAUUUUCAACUAAUUAGAUGCUAACUUGGCUACAGCAGCAAUCACAACCGAACAGCUUCAACAUAGACUUAAAAUAUGAAUUUGAUUGAUGAAUUUCAACAAAACAUGAGAACCAUACCGUUCAGAAAAGUGUUGCCAUCGGCCAUGUGCUCAAAAGAUGCAGAGGGGGUAUCGCUACCAAGGUACUGCUGCACCAGGGGAUCAUUGUCGUCGCCGGCAAAGCCUACCAUCGGAAUACAUGGUGGUCGUAAGUAUAUGGUAAUAUUACUUAGAGAAUGGUUGUAAGUAUACCAAAAGAACUACAAUACUUGACUGCUGCGGCAUGUAAUUGAUUGCUCUGUGAAGGAAUAAGUUAAAACACAUUUCAACUGAAGAAAUUGAACUUUCAUCAGAGUCUGAAAUGUUCAUGUUUGGAUUGCACACUGAAAUUCAGAACUGACUUGAAGCAACACUACAUGGAGCUUUACAACUUUCAAAUGACCUUUUACAACAUAGCCUUGAAUCAUGCAACUUUUAGGAUGUCAAUUAAGAGAGAUUGUAAGCUGAGUUCAAGGUUAGCAACAGAUAACUUCAAGGCUUAUCACUGGAACAACUCAUCUCUAGCUAUACAACACACCACAACAUGAAACAAUACAUGCUCGCCAAUUAAAAAAACAUGGAAUAUUAGGACUGCUGAUCUAUCCUUUUGCUUUGACAAUUUCUGUUGGUUUGAUAUAAUUUUUUGGCAUGCCAUCCUUUUCAGAAAAAAAAACUAAAGGUUAGUUUGAAUAUAAACUAACAAAUGGAAUUAUCAAGAACUAAUUGCAUGAUUCAUAAAUGACAUGUACUAAAAAUAUGAAGGCUGAGCUCACACUGAUCACUUGUUCCAUAACAACUGAUAGUACCAUUUUCUAGAUGACUUCAGCACUUGAUUAUAUCCUUUUGCUGCAAAUUUGUGAGCUUAUAAGUGCAAUGCUUGUGGGUUCAAAAAAAAAACUCCUGCCACCACUGCUGCAGUGUAGCUUCACUACACAAUGAGGUGCACACGAUGUGUGAAAUGUCAGAUCAAAGUAAUCUCAAACUUCUUCCCUAAUUUAAAGAAUUUGGUUGCUACAUAAUAAAGUAAUUUUUUUGUAAUCUAUGGGAUGAGCAGAGAGCAGCAGGCAUGGCAUGCACGCAAGGCAAGGAACAAAUUAAUCUUCAUUUUGCUCAAUUUACAAUUUCAGCCUAGCUACAAUUCCCUAACACAUCGAUCUCAUUCACGAGGUCCUAACACAAGAAGUACCAGAUUCUGAAGUGUGUUCCACCAAGAUACUCACCGCCGGCAAAUUGCAAAUCUUGGACACCGCCGUUCCAUUGGGCGUUGGGGCCGCCGACGGCCAUGACCCGACGCAUCUGCUGCCUGCCGCGCCGAUCUUGAACUUGCCGGACGGGAGCACUCGACAUUGGCGGAAGACGUGCGGGGGGCACCGGCCGGGGCGGCUCCGGCCGCCGGGCGGCCUUCAGCCGGCAGCGGCCGCGGGGCCUUCGGUUGGGCGCCGGGCGGGCGGGCGCCGGGCGCCCUUCGGCCGGGCGCGGCCGCGGAGCCUCCGGGCGGGCGGGCGCCGACCAGCGCGGCUCCGGCCGCCGGACGGCCUUUGGCCGAGCGCGGGCGCAGGGCCGUCGGGCGGGCGGCCACCGGACGGGGGGGCGCGGCCGCGGGGAGCUUGGGGCCGGGCGCGGGCGCGGGACCGCCCACCGGUCAGCGAAUCUUGAGCGCCGCCGCCGCUGCCUCCGCACGGGAAAAUGGCGCGCGCGGUAGAAAAAAAAGGCGCGCGACUCCUGAUCUGGGCGCGCGAGAAAGGGAUUGGGGAAGGAGAGCGCUCCGGAUAUUUGCGGAAGAAACAGACGUGGAUGCGGGUGGCUGUAAAUAUACGGGAGUUUUAGGGGAGCUGUUGGAGCUACUUUUUUAAUUAUUUUUCCCUAUUUAAGAUUUUGGGGAAGUUUAAGGGAUCUGUUGGAGUUGCUCUAAUCCGAGUCUGUCAGCGCCUCAGCGGCGUUUAAUGUGCUACGAAAUUGCAGUAGAGUACUAGGAGAAGAGACGUCAAAGAACAAGGUCUUUUUCUGAAUUGUUGCCAUGGAAGUGGAACUCAUGGCUUACUACGUGACACGUGUGUAUCGGUGUGCCUGUGCCGUGUCAGCAUCACCCAUUUCACGUCCAUGCUACGCAACGUACGUACAAGCGCGUCGCAGAACGUACAUGUUUUGCCCUCUGUCCACAUCAGGUGUGAUCCAACACGCACGCUCCCAUUCGCCAACACAACGUCGUGGCGCGCGUCGUUUCCUCCAUCUAACACCACCUUCCACUACGGCAAGCAGCGUCACUGCUAGCCAGCGCAUCAGGAGUGAUCCCACAGGCUGACGCCUUCCUCGUCGGCUUCCAUCAUCGGCGCCGCCGCAGGGCCGAGCGCGGGCGGGCUCAUCAUCAGCCCCUCCGCCAUGCUCAUCAUCAGCCGCGGCAUCUCGAACAGGUCGUCCUCGUCCACGACGCCGCCCGCCGCCAUGGCGUCGCCGCUGUCGCCGCGGAGCUCGUGAUGAUGAUGACGACGGCCGUCCAUCGCCGCCGCGGCCGCGGCAGCCGCGGCCCGGACGUCCUCGGCGGAGGCGGAUGCCGGCGCCGGGCGUGAGCGCGCGGCGUCGGGGAAGUUGAGCGCCGUGCCGGCGCCCCGCAGCGCCAAUGCGGCGGCGUCGUAGGCCGCGGCGGCCAUCUCGGGCGUCGGGUACGUGCCCAGCCAGAUCCUGCUGGGCUUCCGCAGCUCGCGGAUCUCCGACACCCACUUCCCCGCCCGGAGCCGCACCCCGCGGUACACCGGGUGCCGCGUCUCCGCCCGCGCGCGCCGCCCGCAGGCCCUCUGCUCCUCCAGCCUCCGCUGCUCCAUCCAAGAUCACCAACCACUCAACCAGCACGAACACUCCCGGUCAGACAACACCCGCUCUGCAUUGCACCCAGCACACGCCCGAGACAACCGUGGCUAGAACAACACUGCAACCACAGCUAGUAGCCGCAUGCACGACACGACGAAGCCCAAGCUGAGCAAGUGACGGCAGAUUGGCAAGGCUUGCGAUGAUGUGAUCAACCAGAGCCCAGAGGAUAGUCUAGCUAUCUAGCCAGCAGACUACUAUUUACUGCUAUCCCCUAGCAGCUAGCGUACGUCCAAAUGAUCGAUCUCGGGAGGGUUUAAAAAAACCGGGGAGGCGGCCGGAGUUGGUGAAAACAUUCUCGACGCGAGCACGAGGUGACGGAACGCGUUUAUUUCCUGCCCGCUCAACGCUCAACUAGAGGUUAGCUGUGAAGCACAGCUCGAACAAAAAGCGUGGGCCUCACCGAGCUUUCCGUCGGCCCGGCCAACCGGAGCUCGCCACCUCGCCGCGCCGGGGUUGCCAUCUCAGGCCUCGGAAAAGCCGCUUUUUCUGCUAGUGCGCGACGAGGUUAGCAGUACGAUCCCCUCGCCUGGGGGUCAUCCAGGUGGCUUCGUCCCCAGCUCCGGUUCUGAUUCGACGGGCGCUGGACGGGUGAUAACGUGACAUGAACCCACUGAUCUGGGGUUUGGUUUUGACCCGUUCAAGGACAGUAUAAUAAGGGGGUUCAUCACGUAAAGGUGAAUCGAGUAGACGAUGAUGAUGCGCGGUUCUUUUGUUUUCUUCUGCCACCUACCAUAUCCAGUACUAGAUUACGCGGGCGGUGCUGCGGCUUUGCAUGGCCAGAUAUUUCUGCCUGCGAUUGGCGAGGAGGAAAUCUGUGAAACCUCUGUAGCUCUCCAUGCUCGUGCGUGUGUUCAUAUGCUUGAGCUGGAAAGCACGUGCUGUCGAUUUCAGCUCUUUUCAAACGCGGUAGCCCGACGGUCACAACUCGUAAGCCGCUAGCCGCCUGAAUAAGCUCUGAGAGAGAGUUCACUGAAACUGAAUCACGACAUCAAACUAUGCAUGACAAACUUGUAUCUAGAUAUAUAACAAAAGUUGUGUAUCAAGAAAAACUAAAACGAAUUGUAGUUUAGAACGGAGGGAGUGCAUGGUUGGGUGCAUGCCUGUUCAAAAGAAGGUCUCUCUGUGUGUUUGUCUCUCGAUCCAUCGAUCGCGGAGAGAGGUCUAAAUUCAACUGCAAGUAACCAGCUUCGGCGAUCACGUUUAUCUCUGAUCCGCGAAUAGCCAGGCAACAUGCGCGGCUCAAUCUAGGCCAUAUAUGGUUCCCCAAGUGGUGGGUGUGCGUUGUUUGUGGGUGUUGGGACCGGAAGAAUUUAGCAGAUGGGUGCCCGCAGGCCCACAUUGUGAUGACGCUGCAAUCCAUAUUAGCAUGCAUAGAGUAAAGUUUAAUCCAACCAUUUCUGCUUGCAUUAUUGCUCCCCUCUUGUUCUUAUCCUCCAAAUAGUAUUGUCAACAUCCGGAAGGGAAGGCUUUUGUUUCUUGUUUUUCUUCUUCGCAGUUUUGGCAGCCUCAUGCAUGUUCUGCAAGCUUCCUGAAGCUGACCAGGUCUAAAGAACGCUACCACCCAAGGUGCAGGGACGACAAUGCCUGAACUUAUGUGCCUCUAUCCAACGCACGCACAUAGACGUUGUGCAAAAGUUUAGCGAAAAUAUCUAAAUUACAUUCACACAUCCACAAAAAGAGUGAUGGUUUAGUAUUGAGUGUUUGAAUAUUUCUAGGGCAACGAUAAGGUACUCCGAUUACCUCCUAAGAGGUACUAAGAGUUAAAAUAAAUCUAAGCGAGAAAUAAAAUAAUUAUUUCCUUUUAAUUGCACGUUUUUGUUGAGUAUACACAUUUUUUAAAGUUGUAACGGGACCUCAAAAUUGCCUUUAUUCGAGUGGAGAAAGGUAUACAAGUCACGUCAGGGAUUGUAUUGAUUUUUUGUCACGUUAAAAAAACAGUUACAAUAUAAUCACGUUAGUGAUCGGAUCACCUUUUCCUUUUGGACGUUGCGAAAGAAAUGAGAGCGUUCGUUUAUGCCACGUUCCAACAAAAGAAGUUAGAAGAAUCACGUGGCAAGUUAGAUCUAAUAUAUAUGAAGGUAAUUUCCAUGUUUAUCCUAUUUAAAAUAAAAAAUAUAAAUAUAUAUUUCUCCUAAGAUGUAUGGUCCACAGUAAUUUCGGAGUACCUCAGCAAAACCCUCCUAAGUAAGAGUUCAACUUAGUAAUGAAGUUGUAUGCCUGUAUCUUAAUGUUCUGCCGAUUACAUCUCAUCUCCCAAUGUGCUUGACCCUGAAGUGAAUGUGCAAUAACAACAUCACUCUAUCUGUCUGAGCUUUAUCCAAAAAAAAAACUGAGCUCCAAAAAAAGUCAUCAAUUACAGUUGGAGUAGCACAUGUUUUUUAUGAGCUCCAACACAGAAAUUCAUUCCUGCUGCAUGUAAUACUUUUUCCUUACUUUUGCAAAGAGGAAGGUGCAAUAAGUAAGUGUGCUUCAUAUGUAUUUACUUGUUAAUAUCUGGUGUAUUGAAUAUGAGAAGGUUCUAGACAGGAAACACAUGUUUGCCGUGUUUUAAUCAUAUUGCCUGCUACAGCUUCUUGAAUAUGUUAGACUUGUGAUGCAAAGGUCUAUGAUUCGUUGUACUAGAAUAUGAUGACUUGAUGUUUGCCACUUGCCUUAAAGUAAAAUAUAGAUCCAAUCUGAAUAUUACUUGCAAUUAAUGUGCUUAAUUAGUACUUUGAUCACCUUAAUUUCAGCCAAGUCAAAAGGACUUGUGCACUAAUUAAAAACUUUGUGUUCACAUGUGAUGUUUGCUCAUGGACUAAUUAUGUCCUCAUUAUAUCGUAAACAAUUAAAAAAAUUUAUCACCUAAAUUGGAACCACCGUAUUGCUCACGCGUGGACCCACCUAUCAUGUAUUUGAGAAAGAGGAUAGGGUGCAAAUUCAUGAAAAUUGAGAGUUAGAAAAUGUUUCUGCCCGAAAACCAAAUUUUUUUCUUACCGCGACUCCCUUUACCCGCUGAUCGUACCCGCGUCUUGUCCGCGUCGAUCACGAACAAAUUCACGCCCGCCGCACGUGGCCCAUCCAUCUGACUUCCGACCAUCCCCAUUCGCACUACCCCUUCAACCCUCCUCAUACGAGGUACCCGCUCCGUCGCUGGAUCCGGAUCGGGUGCGGGUGCGGGUUCGUCUUCCAUGAGCGUCGUCGCCGUGUCCCGUGUGCGGGCUUUGACCUCCAUGCAAAGAAUGCCCAGGCACGCACCAAUCUCCCGUUCCAUAACACCGUACGUCCAUCUACUGCACCAAGCGCACUGUCAGUCUUACGUUCUCGUGGAUCCACCUCGAUCCGCGGGUCCGCCUAGGUCUGCACCAGUGCAGAUGGCACACUUUACAAUUUGACAUACUCCUCCGUGCCUGUGCGUUGAGUGCUGCUAGCAGCCUGCAGUUGCAAGGAGCAACAUGCCGUCCAAGAAAUUGGGCGGGCAGCUCGCAGGAGAUUUCGAUCAUGGGGUAAGAUUUCGAUGUAAUAUAUUCACUACGACUGAUUGAUUAAGUGGUAAGAUUAUUCUUCUACCCUCCGGAUCCCAUCUAAAUUCAAACGUCGGUGUGAUUGUAAAACGUUGAUUAAUUCAUCUGCUUGCUUGUUCCCUUUUGCCUCUGUUUAUUAAUCAAGCAAUGUAUUGCUCUUCAGUAUUCAUGAGUGACACAAACAAAGCUCAUGAGAGCAAAAACUGAAACACUGGAAAUACUCCAUGUAUUAAAUGGCAAGUACGUACAGAAUCAUUCUUUUUAUGUGUUGAGGUGCUGCCAAUUGAGCCGACGUCAAUGUACAUACGUUUUGUUGACAUAGCAGGUUCCAGGUUGGCAAGCUGAGAACGGCGUUGGCCGGAGGUCAAGCACCUGCGGGCUGCGGCAGCAUGACCACCUGCUGGUUGUUUUCCUUGGAGCGCGGGAGGCCCUGGUGGUGAAUCUACGGGGGUGUUUGGAAGCACUCCACUUCAGAAAAAAUUGCUUCACUCCAUCAACUCCAAAAUUUUUGAAGCCAAACGCGUCUAGAUCCAGCAACUCCGGCUCCAGGAAAAAGGUGGAGCAGGGGGUAGAUCCACGUUUUCUAUGGAGUACCUCAAGAGGUGCUCCAAAAACCUCCUUUUCAGACCUCCUUAUGGAGUUGGGGUUAUUUACCCACCAUUGCCACUUGUUACACAAGUUACCGGUUUGUUUCUGAUUUUUCUAUCUCCUCCGUCGUCUCCGUUUCCUUCUCCCACGGGGCGCAGGCCGGCCGGGGGCGAGCUCCCCCGCGGCGGCGCGGCCAGGGCGCAGGCCGGCCGGAGCGAGCUCCCGUGGGAAGCGGGCGUCAUGCGCGGCGACACGGGCGGCAACGGAACAACCCGUUUGAUCGAUCGAUUCCGCGAGCGGCCGACAGGCGGGCAUGGCGGUCGUGGUGUCGGCGGCGACGGCAAGCUGGGAGAUGCGAGUGCUGGCAGUGCUGGGACGGUGAGCGCGCGCCGUUCCGCGUGCUCGUCCGCGCGUGGGAUCUGUACGUGAGCCGGAUGGCGGCGUGCGCGGGCGGCUGCGGCCAGUAGGAGGCCCGGUGGGGCUGGUGGCGAUGCCGCGGUCCCAGAGCCACGAGUUCUACCGGUCGGUAGCGGGGCCAAUGAUGACGUACAGGAGCUCAUCAGGGCAGCCUCCCGCGCCGGCCUGCUCAGGGCACCCAGCGGCGUCGGGUCGUGGAGCCAGAGCGUGGCCAUCGGGCGGAUCGACGAGGACCCGGGCGUGCGAGUUCGGGCUGGAGGACGGCUCGCUUGGCCUCAACGCCGCCGCCGGUGCAAACGCACUUGAAGCUGGAACGUGGAUGGCAGGACAAAUCUGAUGUUCGUCCUGAUAAAAAAAAGAAGCGCAAAAAUAUGACUCCUAUAGCAUACUGUAUACGUGAAGUACAAGUCCGUCUCUAUGUCUCGCUGCCGAUUGUUAUUUCUUUUCUGUCGAAAGACCUGCCGAUAGCAACUGAAAGUGUAUGUAGUUCGAAAACGUAAAGCAAAAUUAUUCUGUUGCUCCAGGGAGGAAGAGAAAGGGUGGAGAGAGGAGAGACAGAUAUGUGGGUUCGUUGAUAAGGGGUAAAAUAGGCUAUUCACAACAAGUGCUCAUAUUUUUGGAGCUGGAGCACUACCACCAGCCAAACACGUGCAGCAGCUUCAUAUUUUUCUGGAGUUGCUGGAGUGGAGCUAGAAAAGUGUGGAGCUGGUGGAAUGGAGCUGAUUUUUUUGAGUGGAGUGCUCCCAAACAGGCCCUAUAUAUGGAAGGCGCCUUUGCCGCGAGGUUCUGUUUGCGGUGAUGAGAUUUUUUAAGGGUACAUACCACACAACCACGCACACCACACUCAUACCAGACGCACACACACGUGCAUAUCUAUACACACGUUACGCACGUUAUAGAAGAGAUUGGUGAGACUACUGUUCUCGUUAUGGAAGUGAGUUGUAAUAGAAAGUGUGGCUCAUAUGAAGGUUAAAUAUUUGGAGCGCUAGAGCAACAAAAGUAUAAGCGUGAGGCACCAGGAGGACGGUUGUGUCCUGGUCGAUUUUGGGAGUUGCCUGGCGAGGAGUAGAGUUGCAAUGCUAUUGAUGUAGCAUGCUUUAGUAUUGUCUGAAUUUUAUUAACCCACAAAUUCACAUAUUUCUUUACUUUACCAUUGCAGGAAGGACUACGGGUAGUGAGAAGAUAUGAUAGUGUUAUGCAUCAUGUAUGAAUAUAAUGUUUCUUCUAGGUUCAAUCUCCACCCUUUCUUAUUUGCAUUUUAUUAACUAUUUAUAAAGGAAUAUCUAGCUUUUUUGCGAAAAGGAAUAUAUAGCUUGUGGUAAUAUUUUCUCUUGCAAAGUUUUGGAUUUCCUAUGAAUCUAGAUUUUCUAUUUAUAAGAAUUUUUAAAGGCACUACCUUAGAAAUCUGAGUAUUUAAGGAGAAAUAAAUAAUUAAAAAGGCAAAAAAGUUAUAAUGUGCAGAGGCUGGAUGUUUGUAAAUGAUACAAAGCAGUUUCAGUGUUAUGACUUUUUUUAAAUGAGUUUUGUGUGUGUACUGUUGGCUAUUGGUGACUGUUAGAAUAGGUCAGAAUCCCGUGUCUUUUUUUUAAUGCUCUAGAGUCUUGGUUUGUAAAAGGAAGGCUAAUAGGUCCGACAAUUACUGCAAAUAUGUAUACGUAAUUAAUUUUACUUGGUAAUUCAUCCAAUUAAAAGAGUUAUUAGAGGUAUUUUGAACUUUUAGUAUUGGUACUAUCUUGUCUAUAAUUUUUUAAAUGAAUAAUGAGGACGGAGGGAGUAAUCAUUAAUAUAUCUCUAUCCUUGGGUGAAAAUAGAGUUACAAUUUUAGUACAUAUCGUAGACAACAAGAUUGUGAUGGGCCUAAAUUAAAAAGAACGGGCCAACUGAAGUUUGGGUUUCUUCAAGUAAGCAGGCCAAAAUUUGAUGAGCCCGAGCCACUUAUCACACAUAGGCACAUAGCCCAUGGAAGACUUUUGUGCAACUUCAGCCCAUUUUCUUAGAUGAAGAAAAAUACAUACCCAAAUUGGGCGGGUUUCGUUUGUUUGCUGGCUGGGCUAGACUAUCCAUGCUCGCAUCGGCGGGCCAAUUUAGCUCACUCUAAGUGGUGAGAAAAAAAAAAGCUGAAAACCACAAGCUCUUUAUGAGCUUGCAGCACAUCCAAUGAUCCAAACGACUUGUCAAUGCCAAUUUCUUGCUUAGUUAGAGGAUGCUUGGUUCCACGGACUAAAGUUUAGUGGCUGUCAUAUUGAUUAGGAGAACUAAACAUGAGCUAAUUAUAAAACCAAUUGCACAGAUGGAGACUAAUUCGCGAGACGAAUCUAUUAAGCCUAAUUAGUCCAUGAUUUGACAAUGUGAUGCUACAGUAAAUAUGUGCUAAUCAUGAAUUAAUUAGUCUUAAUAGAUUCAUCUCGUGAAUUAGCCUCCACCUAUACAAUUGGUUUUGUAAUUAGUCUAUGUUUAAUACUCUUAAUUAGUAUCUAAACAUUCGAUGUGACAGGAACUAAACGUUAGUCCGUGGAACAAACACCCCCUUAGAUAACAUAGUACUAGCAAAAGAUCCAAACAUGCCUUUUAUUUCAGUCUCUCUAUGGGACAUGUAGCCAACCAUUCGUUAGCCGAAGGCCACGAAGGAAAAGCUUGCCAAUAGAUUAUGCCAACAAAUAACUCAAGUUCAUGUGACUUACUUUCUCCGUUCAAAAUUACAAUACGUUCUCCUACAUCAAAUUGUUUGAUCUUAACCAAAUUUAUUGAAAAAUACACAAACAUCUACAAUUUUAAACUACUUUCAUUAUGGAUACUCCACGUAACUAUUUGAUAUUGUAGAUGUAAAUAUAAUUUUUUAGUUAAAGUUAGAUAAAUUUAUCGGGUGAUGAAAAAAUGACUUAUAAUUUGAAAAAUAAGAGUAAUAACGAGAGGAAAAACCUAAAUACGCAACCUAUUAAAAACACCCACCUUUGGAAAUAAAUAAGAAAGAAACGUGUCAUUAUCUCUGAACCAUGAUGAUAGUGCACCUGAUUUUUCAAAUGACUCAAAAGUGAAAAGAGAAAAGUGCAUGACUAUUUUCUCCUCGACAAAAGGGACACAGACACACAGCAGGGACCCUGACCUGACCUGAUCCGUGACCGCUUGCAAUUUGCAAAGUGGCCAUAUAUCUCUUAGGGCAACCAAAGGUAUUUGGACUAACCAAAUAGAUGGUACCAUGUCAGUUGGGCUUAGUGGAUACACCAGCACAUGUCACAUCGGAUGUUUGAUACUAAUUAGGCUAAUUACAAAACUAACAAAUGGAGUCUAAUUCGCGAGACGAAUCUAUUAAGCCUAAUUAGUCCAUGAUUUGACAUUGUGGUGCUACAGUAACCAUUUGCUAAUGAUGGAUUAAUUAGGCUUAAUAGAUUCGUCUCGCAACACAGGUUUCUACAAUAGUUUUAUAAUUAGCUCAUAUUUAGUCCUUCUAAUUAGCAUCGAACAUCCGACGUGACAAUGCUAAAGUUUAGCACCGAGUAUCCAAACACCCUGAACCACAAUGCUUAAGGUCUGAUGGGCCAGAAAAUAUGACCCACCAGCAAGUGUUUGUUUCUUUAGUCCCUCCUAAAAUUUCUAUCACAUCGAAUGUUUGAUACUAAUUAGGAGUAUUAAAUAUAGACUAAUUACAAAACCAAUUGCACAGAUGGAGACUAAUUGGCGAGACGAAUCUAUUAAGCCUAAUUAGUUCAUGAUUUGACAAUGUGAUGCUACAGUAAACAUGUGCUAAUGAUGGAUUAAUUAGGCUUAAUAGAUUCGUCUCGUGAAUUAGCCUCCAUCUGUGUAAUUAGUUUUAUAAUUAGCUCAUAUUUAGUCCUCCUAAUUAACCUCCGAAUAUUCGAUGUGAUAUGAAUUUUAGGAGCUCCUAAAGAUCCAAACACCCCCGAAAUCACUAAAACAGCCUAACCGCCCCUACCUCCCCUCUCGCGGUUCCUCUUCCUCCCGAGGACCUCUUCCCACCGCGACAGGAUCCGGGCGACAACCACCUUCCCUGGUGGCGCCCUCCCAUGAGCCAGGCCAAGAUCCUCAUCAGCAAAUCGAUCUCGAACCUCCUCAUCUUCCCCAAGCUCCGGUCCGGGCUCCUCUUCCCCCAAGCUCCGGUCCAAAUACACAUAUUUAAAUUAAAGAUCCAAACAACAUGAUACAAUACAACAAGACAUCCACUGGUUAUUAUCUAGGAGGACUUUAAGCAUCCUUGGACUGUGAAGACGAAGGUUCCGCUGACCCAGCCUCAUCCUUAGGUUUAUUUGUGCCGCCUGAAACGGUAGUACUAAGUGGACGUGAAACACCCGGGACUGAGGUUUGAGCAUAACGACCACCAAAAGGAGGUUCCUGACCCGCGGCAACCGCUUCUUCAUGACGUUGCUGCAAAUAACGAAGCAUUGCUUUUUCCAACGUGCUCAUUUUCUUCGGCUUAUGCUGAGGGCCAACUAUGAUUUUCCCCUUGCCGAAAGAGGAACCACGAUCGCCCCCACCAUCGCCACUUCCUCCAGUAGCAGAAGCCAUCUAUGUACAAAAAUUCUUUCCUUAGCAUUGCAGAAGUUGUUGAACUUGAAGACCGUGAUCAUCUCGCGAGCAUGUUCUCAACUGGGCGGCACCGCACUUUGUCAUGAAAGAGGUUAGAUGCUACGGAAAAGGGGACACGGUCAUGAUGUUCGUAUCCACUCUUUCUCGUAGAAUCGAACCUUCUUCUUGACAUACGUUGCUGCUCAGCGGAAAACAUCCUCGCAGAGAUGAACACGGUAUGCAAGUUCAACAAGUAUGGAUUUGAAAAACUUUAUUGAAUUUGAUAAGAUAAACCGUCUAGACAAGGUAGCAUCAUUCUUAAACCACUGCAAGAAUACAUACUAUAUAUCACACAUCAAUCUCACUCACAUUCUAGCUCAAAAUACCUCUCCAUUUUCUACUUCAUCACAUUCUAGCAAUUAAUCUUUCCAUCUCCAAAGCAUAAAUCAAAGCAUAACACGAGGAUGAAGUAGCAAACCUUCACAACACUUAUGUUGGCUGAGUGAAAUUCCCACGAAAAUGAGGGAAAAAACUUCGGUCAGCACCUCCCUUGCUUCGGCACCACCGGAGAGUAGGUGAAGCUCAACUCUCUGUCUAUGUGCUGGACUGGCUCGGACUAGAGGAGGAAGAAAGGCCUCUGUCGUGAUAUAUAAUGGGGAUGAGUUUUUAUCCCGGUUAAAAACUCCAACCGAGACAAAAAGGAACACCUUUUGUCCCGGUUGAAAGUUUAGUCCCGGUUGGAGCCUCCAAACGGGACAAAAGGGUGCCGCCACCGACGCCCCGGAACUAGCCUUUAGUCCCGUUGCAAUUACCAACCGGGACUAACCCUCCCCUCCAUUUUUACCUACCGUGGUGCACCCCCUUUUAUUCCGGGCCAACUUUAAACCGGGACAAAAGGGGGCGCAUCAAAAGCCAAUUCUCUACUAGUGAAUGGCAGCCGCUAGACCCGAUGAGAAUAGCCCCAUCGAGCUUUUUCACUUCGAAUCCAGGUUCUUUCGGCCGAAUCGAGCUCGUUCUUGGCGCUAAUCAAGCUAGCCAGGAUUUGGCGCUAAUCAGACUUCCUUCCACGAAUUUGGCUCUGGUGGCAGGAGCCAAGGCGGCCCUCCCCGAGCUCGUGGUGGCCGGCCCUCGUCCAAAUUCGCGCUGACGGCGGGAGCAGCACCAGCAGUGGCAUCGCCCUGGGAGGGAGUAGAGGUCAGGGAAGAGAAAUGAUAUUUUAUUCCAUAUGGCCGGUUCAUGCAUAUUUGGACCACUUGCGCAAUGCUUUUGGGCAACAUUAGACACUUAUUGAUCCUGGUCCACCGAGAAUGACGCGACCCCUGCACCCCACAAACGUGCCACACGAUAAGCUAAGGCCUUGUUUGAAUCCUUGUUAAAAUUUAGCGUUUGUCAUAUCAAAUAUUCGGAUACUAAUUAGGAGAAUUAAAUAUGAGCUAAUUAUAAAACUAAUUGUCGAAGUUCUGGACUAAUUUGCAAGAAUUAAUCCAUCAUUAGCAAUCGUUUCGUGAAUUAGCCUCCAUCUGUGCAAUUAGUUUUAUAAUUAAUCUAUAUUUAAUAUUAACAUUCAAUAUGAUAAGAACUAAAGUUCAGCGGUCAGGAAACAAGCAUCCCGGACAAACAGCCUAGCAACGAAAAAGUUGCAUGGCGUGGCUCCCACCCGACAUGACAAAAUAAAUGCAUGCAAUAUUCUUGCCGAUGCAGAAGAAUAAAGGAAAAGCUAGUAAAGCCUAGAAAGGCAAUCAUUCUAGCGGUGGUGGAACGCGAAGAGGAAAUGUUGCUUCUUGCUCUGGACUCUUGGAGUGGAGUCCUGUGGCCUGAGCAAAAGUUGGCUGAUCCUUUUCGUUUUUCUCCACGGCAAGCGAGGAUCAGAACACCAGAAUAGGCCGGUCCGCCAGUAGGUCGCUCACUCGCUUGCGCUGCAGGUCGAUCGGUCUCCUUCACCAAUUAGAUUUGGGAUAGAGAUCUUGAUUUUUUUUUGCAAAUGGAGCCAAAUAAAGGUGAUGUUUUUUUUUACGACCGUGUCUUAGCACGUAUUUCAUUAAGAAGGAAGCAGAUUACAGGCACAAACCUUGAGGUAGCCAAACAGAACUUGGCAAACACAAGAGCACAAAUAACUAAAAAUAGAGAAACACUGAAGAAAAGACACAGCCAGCAAGCGUCCGAAGCAACAACCACAACAAACUGACAGUAAAAGAAGCACGGGGGGCGGGGGAGGACACCCCCAAUCCCGCCACCCUAACAAUGCUACCCUAAGAGUUGAACCUACAAAAGGGAUACACCGUCGCCAAAGAUGCCUAGGGAGAGCAAGCUCGAACUACAAAACGGUGGCGAAAACAUCCAUCAAACAACACGACCACUGCGGCAAAGCAUCCGCCAGAGUAGAUGAACGGCGGCAAAGCAUCCGCCUGGACCAACUAGUGGUGGCAAAGUAUCCACCCAAACAGCAUCAUGGCGGCAAAGCAUCCGCCCAAGCACACGGUGGCAAAGCAUCCACCUCAACUAAGAACGGUGGCAAAACAUCCACCCAACGACCACAACCUGAGCGGCGAAGCAUCCACCCAUAGGAAGCACCAACAGCACGACAGGGCGGCAAAGAGUUUGCCAGAAGAUAGCAAUCCAGGCAACCAAGGCGAUAAUGGACAAUUCAAAACGAAGGCAGGCACAGAAGAAAAUUUUCCCCGUGGAGAGUUGACGAUGACCACCACCACGACAACUGCAAACUGGCGUGAACUUCCAAGAUGACACCUCCAGGGAGAGAUACGACGCCACUAUCGCCGCCGUCGCCCGACCUACACAGUCAGGGUUUACCCCCAGGAAGCUUGCAGGUGCAGGAGGAGGGAGAGGCAGAAGAAUGAUGCUUCCAAGGAGGUAAACAGCGUCCGAGGGCAUCGCCGUCAUCUGCUGCAAGCAAGCAGAGAUUUUCUCCUUGCCCCCACCCCCCGAGCACGCCACCAACCUUCCAGAGCCACCGCCACACACCAAGGAGGAAUAGUGGUGGCCUACAGCAGUGGCAGCAGCCGAGCUCGCCAGACGCCACCACCGAGGCCCCAAAGCGUGGAUCUGGGCACGGCGAUGACCGGCAGCCCUUGCGACUCCCGAGUCUCGACUGGCGACUGGUGGCAUGCGGAUCCGACGGCCGGCGACAACCGGUGGGGGUGCGACAACGACCUCGGUGGGGGCCAGUAGGGAAGAGGGAGAUGUGGGGAAGGGCCCUCCCCCGGUAGUAUGUGCAUCUUCUGCUCCUCCUCCGACUGGUGGCGCGCAGUGGAAGGCGGCAGCCAAACGAACGAACCCUUGGCGAGGCGCAGGUCGCCCUGUCCCAUCCCACACCGAGACGAGACGACAUGGCAGCGGAGCAAGACAAGGAGGAGCCAUUGCGUCAGGGGCCCAAGCCAGGAGGCACGAAUCCGAGUCGUAGGGAGGCGGAUCCAGUCACCGGUGCCGGCACCCAAGGCUGCCCCGGCGACCAAGGAGGAGGAUGACUGACGGUGGAAGCAGGCCCUCCUAGCUUGGGAUGCGCGGAUCUGAGCCCCGGGACGGUGUAUCCAGCGACACCCAAGCCCUCCAGUGGAAGACAGCUAGCGGUCAACUACGGGCGCAAGGCGACCCGAGGAGGGCAGAUCCGCGCCGGUGGCAGCGAUGCCGGACCCGUCAGCGACACACGCCGGUGGCAACGACGGCAGCAAAAGCAACCAAGCGACCGAGGUUAGGUACGGUGAGAGAGGGAGAGAAGAAGAGGAGGGGAGAGGGUGGCGACACGGACACCAACUUCGGUGUCGCCGCGGGCCGCCACUAUCACUGUCGGCGGCAGCCCCCCGACUAGGGUUUGAGGGAGCUCGGCGGCGAGGCUCGGGUCGCCCCCGAGUCGUCCAGGAGAGCGACGCGGGCGUUCGUGAAGCCUAGAAUGUCCUUCCUCCACAAUAAACGUUACGUUACGGCUUACAUAACAGAGAUAUGCACAUGUGCAUGUCGCUGAGCUUUACAAGUUUCGGCUCGUUGCCACCGAGCUUCUUCUUCCUCGAGGACCACGGUGCUCUAAUGAGAUCUCGGGCAGUCUGCAGGCGUCCGCGUUCCUGCCGGCUUGAGGCUUCAGCUGAUGGCUGAUGCUGAUGCCUGCCGACUGCCGUGACCUGCAUCUAGUCUAUUCCCGCUAGGGGCAGCCAUCCCAUUAUUAGAGCCGUGCAGCGUCCGUGCGGUGCGAAAUUUCCACCUGCUUUACUGUUUUUUUACCGGAAAUUUACACUUGCUGAUGACGCCGACCUCGUCUUAUCAUCGCCCACCAUUGCUGACUUGAUAGUACUAGUUGCUACGCUGUUUUUCUUGUGGGGGUGGGGGCAACGCCAAGUCGCCAAUGGCGAUAUAAUAGAUUUGACUUCAGUUGACUGCCGUAGGUUUGGGUUAUCCAGUGUGAAAGCACCUGGCUUAUUAUACUGUGUCAUGCCUGAGAUUAGUACUGAAAAAAAUUCUGAUUUGAAUGUGUGCCGGACUGACGGUGUUAACUUUAACAAAUUGUUGUUUGGUCGGACCACGUGCCACCCAGUAGUCCAACACAUCGGUAGUAGAUCGAGCGUGGCCGUUGCCUUAGGGGGCACCUAAUUGCCUUUCGAGAGUAAUCAUUCGCCGAAGAGUGGCAAUCACUUGUGACGUUUUGGUGCACCUUAUUUUCGAUAUAAGAGUUUUUAUAGGAGCAUAUAUGUCCACUUGCAGUAUACUUGUAAACACUAUACUUCCCACAACCAUGUGCGUACAAACACGUAUACAUGUAGUCAAAGUAAUUAGGGUCUGUUUGGGAAAAAGGGUGUUAAAGUUUAACAGAACUUUAACACCCUCAAAUGAGGUGUUAAACUUUAGCAUCUUAAGGUGUUUGGAUAAUUUGUUAAACUUUAACACGUUAUAUGAGAAAUGACAAUAUUGUCCUUCCUCUUGCACACUACCCUUUCCCAUGCUGUUCCUCAUCUCCUCGCUCAUCUCGACCGUGGGGCUCCUUGUCGAGCCGCCCGCGGAGGUGCUGCAGCUCGGCGACUUCAACGACGGCGGCCGCCUCAACAUCGAUGCCUCCGGCAUCCAGGAGACUUGCGGCGUCAUCUUCAAGGUCUACAUCGUCAGCGGCCACGUCACCUGCGUCAAGCGCCGCAGCCUGCUCGAUGUGUCCCCCGAGGACGACGCAUCCGCCGAGGGAUUCGUCUCCUUCUCCCAGGUCUCCAACCUCCCUAGGCGGAGAUCUUGCGCGGGCCUUGACGGCGGAGGAGAGGACCGGGGACGGAGGAGCCGCACUUAGGGGCCGACGGUGGUGAAGGAGAAGCCGCUCGCUGGCUCUCCCGCGCGGCCGCUCGGAGCCGCUCUCCGCGCCCGCGCCUACUCCCGCCGAAGCCGCCUCCCGCACCCGUCGCCGAGGAGGGGGAUCCGUGGCGGCGCGGCGGAGGAAGGGGGAGGGCGGCGCGGCAGAGGAGGGGGAGGGCGGCGCGGUGGAUCCGGCCAGGCGGAGAGGAUGAGGCGGAGGAGGAGGCCGGCGUUGGUGGCGGGGAGGAGAGAGAGAGGGGUAACCUGGGAAAAAGUGGACUAGGGGACCACUUUUAACACCUUUAGCAAGUUUUAACACCCCCUCCAUGUGUUUAUGAAAAAUGGGGUGUUAAACUUUAACACCUCACUUUUAACACAAGUGUUUGGAUAGGAAAGUGUUAAAAAGUGUUAAAAAGGGGUGUUAAACUUUAAUACGAAGGACCUUAAUACACCCAUCACGAGAGUUGAGACGGGACAUACAAUCCCUGAUAAGGAAGUGUAAUGCAGAUAUUGUUGUGAUGUUGGUUUUUCCGUGGGUGACUUUACUUUCUCGCUCUGUCAUGGAUCUCAAACCACAAGCGACUAGUAACAAUUGUUCAUUCAAUUGGCUCAAAGCCGAUAAUCACAAGCCGCAAAGUGUGUGAGAGAGAUGCCAAAAGAUACUAUGAGAAUUUAGAGGGUGUUUGAUACUAGGUGCUAAACUUUAGCAGUAUCACAUUGGAUGUUCGGAUACUAAUUAAAAGGACUAAAUAUGAGCUAAUUAUAAAACUAAUUGUAUAACCCUGUGCUAAUUCGCGAGACGAAUCUAUUAAACCUAAUUAAUCCAUCAUUAGCAAAUGGUUACUGUAGCAUCACAUUGUCAAAUCAUGGACUAAUUAGACUUAAUAGAUUCGUCUCGCGAAUUAGACUCCAUCUGUGCAAUUAGUUUUUUAAUUAGGGGGUGUUUGGAAACACCCUGUUAAAGUUUAACACCUGUCACAUCGGAUGUUUGGAUGCUAAUUAGGAGUACUAAAGAUAACCUAAUUACAAAACUAAUUGCAUAGAUGGAGUAUAAUUCGCAAGACGAAUCUAUUAAGCCUAAUUAGUCCAUGAUUUGACAAUGUGGUGCUACAGUAACCAUUUGCUAAUGAUGGAUUAAUUAGGCUUAAUAGAUUCGUCUCGCGAAUUAGCACAAUGUUCUGCAAUUAGUUUUAUAAUUAGCUCAUGUUUAGUCCUCCUAAUUAGCAUCCGAACAUCCGAUGUGACACUGUUAAAGUUUAGCACCUCAUAUCCAAACAGCCCCUUAGCCUAUGUUUAAUACUUCUAAUGAGCAUCCAAACAUCCGAUGUGACAUGUGCUAAACUUUAGCACGAGGUAUUCAAACGGGGCCUUAUCAAACUUAUUUGAUAGUGUCGCCUAGUAGUAAUCUUUCGCAAAAGAGCGACAUAUUACCUAUCAACCACGUGCUACCUAGUAGUCCAACAAAUUGGUAGUAUAGUGUGGCCAUUGCCUCGGUAGUCCCCUAUUGCCUAUCGAUAGUGAUCUUUCGCAAAAGUCACAAUCACUUGUCAUCUUUUGGUAUUACACUUUAGGUCUGUUAGAGAAGUUCUUACACGUGUAUAUGUGCCCACUUGCACUAUAUUUGUGAAUAGCAACCAAUGCAUAGUAGUAGUUGGGAUGGAUUCAUCAGAUAUUUCCCGCAACCACGUGUGCAUACACACCUUAUCCUUUUUUUUCAAUUUUUAGUUCGUUAAAGAUGAUUUCAAUCAAUUAGCACAAGCUGUUGGUAAAUCACUGGGGAGGAGAAGAAAAAAAAAGGAAGGUAUUUGUCAAAAGAUACUCUGAGAAUUUAUUGUGAUAAGGAUAUAGGUUCCGUUUGUUUCUUUGGUAGCUCAUAAAAUUCCUGUCAUCGAAUGUUUAGUAAUUAAUUAGAAGUAUUAAAUAUAGACUAAUUACACAACUAAUUGCACAGAUGGAGGCUAAUUUGCGAGAUGAAUCUAUUAAGUCUAAUUAGUCCAUGAUUUGACAAUGUGGUGCUACAGUAAACAUGUGCUAAUGAUGGAUUAAUUAGGCUUAAUAGAUUCGUCUCGAAAAUUAACCUUCAUCUGUAUAAUUAGUUUUAUAAUUAGCUCAUGUUUAAUCUUCCUAAUUAGCUUCCGAAUACUCGAUGUGAUAUAAAUUUUACUUUACACUAAAGAUCCAACCACCCCAUACUCAAAUAAUUGAGGAAGAUCCAGUCUACUAGAGCAUUUUAUUGUCACUCAGCCUGGCACGAGGGUCACAACAGCGGGGCCAGCGGGACGUUAACCCGCAGCGUUCUUAUCUGGCCGACGGGCCGAGCACGCUGUGAUCCUCUCACUCCACAGAGCUUAUCAGCACCUUCAGCUGGCCUGGGCGCCUGGCCCUGCUCGCUUACCCCUAAUAGCCAAUACGGACCCGAAAAGCACUUGUCAAAUCAUGCUUAGCCCUCACCUCGCCAUCACACAGCACCGACAGGGUGUAGAUGACCAUAAGGCACGAGGCCCGUGGACCAGCCCACGGCCCGAUUGGCCCGGUACCAGCCCAGCCUGGUACGAUCUUAGUCGUGCUCGGGCUGACCCAGCCCGUCCUUAGUGCCGGGCUUGAUCGUUGCGUCAGCCUGUGGGCCAGCCGGCUUGGCACGAUUAACAGCCGGCCCGCCAGAGCACGAUGGAGGCACGUUUAGUGACGUUUAAGUACGUUUAGUUGUAAUUUGUAUAUGUGUUUGUAUUUGCAUUACCUCUAAAUAUAUAUAUGUAUAAAUGUUUGCAUGUACAAUACCUUUAAAUUUUUAUCUUCGAAAAUUUAAUUUUAUGAAUGAUUUUUUUUAAGCUGAGCCGGACUAGAAUGGGCACGAUGGGCCUUCAUGGCCCGACAGGCCACCGAGUCGGGUCGGCACGGCUAAUAGCCCUUAGUGCCGAGCCUGGAUCGCUGCUUCAGCCCAUGGGUCGGCACGGCAUAGCACGGUUAUUAUCUGGACUGAAUCGUGCCGGUCAAUCCGUGCUCGGGCCGGACUGGACCAGACAGCCUGUUUGGCCAUCUGUACCGACAUGUCGCCCCGGCGCCUGGAAGGUGGGGAUUUUAUUCGCGUGGAGCUCCUGUUCACAUAAAGGGCACGCAUCCAAAUCACGCGGAACCAGCGCGCAUCCGCCGGCCGGGACUACGGAUUUACGAGCGUCUGAACGCCGGGACGCCGCCCGGUUCGCUCGCCUGUGGAUUUGAAGAGCCUGUACUGACUGAUUGGAGCUGUUGGUUGGGAAAUGACGCUGCUGUCCGUGUUCUGCCCACAGUUAAGCACAGGGUUCCGGCAUGUUUUAGCUUGUACUAAUCCUUUGUGUUGGUCGUUGAAAAAGAAAAAAAAAAUCUUUGUGUUGGUUUAUGUAUCCAAGGCAAAAUGGUAUCCCACAUUUAACACGAGCUGAUGGUUUUUAAAAGGUUCGGAUAGAAAAUAUUCCAAAUGCAAUCUGCCCAUGAAAAAACAUGAAUUUUUGUGGGCUUUGUUGCACGAGCUCCUGUCUUGACAUGUCCUAGAGAUUUUGAAUCAGUCUUACGUUUGGCCAAGGAAAGGACCAUAUAUAUAGAUUUGAUUUUUGUAACUGGGAUUGGUGAUGAGGGGUCGAUGUUGUAUCCUCCUAUCCUUGGCUUGAAACGGUGAAUUGCAAAUGACAAAUUAGCUUUCGUGGCUGCGGCGGUCAGUGGAGGCUAUGAACAUGGGUAACGAAACUACGGAAGGCAUAGCCAACAGGUUCGGAUUUUUAGUGAUGACAAAAGGGGUUUAGUGUAGUACUCCUAACAAAAUUAAAGAUUUACGAGUGAUAGCGACAGGUCCAUUUGUCCUCGUCGACAAUCUGCAAUCAAGCCGUUUGUGGAAUGGCAAGUAAUCUAAACACGACGCAAACCUUCUAGAAGCAAAAGCACUCCCAAUCAUCCAUAGUAAACACGAACCAGACGGCGGCCAAGGCGAAGGCAGCGAGGAGCCAAGGAACCAAAGGUCCGAGUAACGGCCCGUACUCGGGUUGCCGGACAAUUAUAGGCUGCAAAGCCACCGGAUCGGAGCACCGUCGCCCUGCUCACUUGGCCGCUCGGCAUUAAUCUGGCUGCAGAGUGGAGACGCCAGCCACCGCCGGGGGUGGGGUUAUAAAAGUCAACAGCCUCCGCCCACCACCCCUCUUCUUUGCUAAAGCUACCUCCGCCCGCGGCCCGCCGACCUCACCAGUCACCACCCAAUCCCCACCUCCCACCUUCGCGGCGGCGUUCUAUGGCCUACACCUCCUCCCUCCACCUCCCCAAGCUCUUGCUCCUCCCCAACCCCCGCCGGACCAGGCACAGGCCCUCCUUCGUCCCCGCCGCCGCGGCCAAGGCCAGCGGCGUGAACGGGCACGCGCCGCCCGAGAAGCCGGCGCCCAACGGCAAGGCGCACAUCAACGGCGUGAACGGCAAGAAGGGCGUGAACGGCGUCAACGGCAAGAAGGGCGUGAACGGCCAUGCGGACCGGAUCCACCUCACGGUGAGCACGGGCGGCGGGGGCCAGGACGGCACCGGGCUCCGCGUGGCGUUCCAGGGCGCGCCGGGCGCGUACAGCGAGUUCGCGGCCAAGACGGCGCUGCCAGGGUGCGACACGGUCCCGUGCCGAGCGUUCGCGGACGCGCUGGCGGCCGUGGAGCGCGGGGGCGCCGACCGCGCCAUUCUCCCCGUGGAGUCCACCAUGGAGGGCACCGCGCUGCGGAACUACGACCUGCUGCUGCGGCACGACCUGGUGGUGGCGCAGGAGAUCAACCUCUUCGUGCACUACUGCCUCCUCGCCAUGCCGGGCGUCCGCGCCGCCGAGGUCCGCCGCGUCAUCAGCCACCCGAUGGCGCUCGCGCACUGCGGCCGCGCGCUGGCGCGCCUCGGGGUGGACCGCGAGCCCGUCGAGGACACCGCGGGCGCCGUCGAGAUGCUGCGCUCCAACCGGAUGCUCGACACCGCCGCCAUCGCCAGCCCGCGCGCCGCCGACCUGUACGGCCUCGACGUGCUCGCGCACGGGCUCCAGGACGAGUCCUGGAACGUCACGCGGUUCCUGCUCCUCUCCAGGCCGCCGCCGCCCGUGGCGCUCCCCGUGGACGCCGACGCCAAGACCAGCAUGGUGGUCGCGCACCGGGGCGGCUCCAUGAUGGUGCUGCUCAAGGUGCUCUCCGCCUUCUCCUCCCGCAACAUCAACCUCACCAAGCUGGAGGUCAUCAACAACGACGGCGCCGCCGCCCCCGCCGCCGCCGGUGCGGGUGCCCGCCCGCCGGUGAUGAUCCUGGACACGAGCGCCCGGGGCGCGCCGACGCUGCGCGCGUUCCCGCACGUCCUCUACGUGGACUGCGCGGGCGCCGCCCACGACCCGCGCGUCCGCGAGGCCAUCCAGGAGAUCGAGAAGUUCGCCGUGUUCGUGCGCGUGCUCGGCUGCUACGCCGCCGAUUCCACCGUCUACGACCUGCAAUGAGAAGGAGAGGAAGGCAGGAUCGUGAUGGUGCGAACCAGGACAGUUGGAAUCUAGCAAGUCUGCCGCAAUUUCGCUGCUAUAAUUGGGCGAAGCUAUCAGGUCUACUAGCAUUCAGAAACUAGCUUUAGCGAGAUUAAGUUCCUCUGCUUGCUGCUGCUGCUGCGUAAUUCUUGUACAGAUGCAAUAAGAAUCUUCCUAUUGCUGCUGGAUUAUGUUAGCUGUGUCUUUGUGUGUGGAUAGGUUGAAGCUUGGUGAUGAUGAUGCCAGCUGAAGGGUGUGUUUGUACUAAGAUGUCUUGUUGAUCAUGACCGGAUCGUUUGUAAUCUUGUUGUCUAGAUUUCGGCGCAAGCUUUCAGUUUUGUAUGUCGCAGCUUAGGAUCUCACAAUAUCCAUCUUGCAAUGUUUUCAGCACUGAACUUUGUAACCGAGCAGUGUCUUCAUCCUCUGCUUGUUUGGGUAUGAGCUCACUGCUAACUCUCCACGAGCUCCACGCGUCAACGCUUAAUUGCGUAGCGAGUACUCCGGCCGAUCCGGACUGGAGUAGAAGGGAUCUCGACUGUAGUACUAGACUAAUGAUUUUAGGCCCUGUUUGAUAAGAGGUGUUAAAAUUUAACACCCCACUUUUAACGCAUUUUUAUCACAUUGCCUCCCAAACACAUGUGUCCCUAAUUUCAUAAACACCUCAAGGGGUGUUAGGGCCUGUUUGGCAACUAGGUGUUAAAGUUUAACACCCGUCACAUCAGAUAUUUGGAUGCUAAUUAGAAGUAUUAAACAUAAGCUAAUUACAAAACUAAUUGCACAGAUGGAGUGUAAUUCGCGAGACGAAUCUAUUAAGCCUAAUUAGUCCACGAUUUGACAAUGUGGUGCUACAGUAACCAUUUGCUAAUGAUGGAUUAAUUAGGCUUAAUAGAUUCAUCUCGCGAAUUAGCACAAGAUUCUGCAAUUAGUUUUAUAAUUAGCUCAUGUUUAGUUCACCUAAUUAGCAUCCGAACAUCCGAUGUGACACUGUUAAAGUUUAACACCUCGUAUCCAAACACCCCCUUAAAAGUUGUUAAACUUGUUAAAAGUGGUCCCCUCUUCACUUUUUUCCACCAUUGCCGCUUUCUCUCUCCUCCCUCUCUCUCCGCCGGCCAUAAUUGAGGGGGCAAUGGAGUCAUUUCCCACCAAAGGUGUUAAAGUUUAACACACCAUCCAAACACCCCAAUGUGUUAAACUUUAGCACUCCAUUUGAGAGUGUUAAAAAUUUAACACUUGUUAAACUUUAACACGAAGUAUCAAACAGGCCCUUGGUAGUUGAUCUGGACUGGAGUUAAUACUUAAUUUGCAGUCUAGCCGGCAAUUCUGAAUCAUUCUCUUCUCCAAAUCUACAGGGUCGAUGAAUCUGAGGGGGGUCCUCCUAAAAUUCCUGUCACAUCGAAUAUUCAAAUACUAAUUAGAAGUAUUAAACAUAGAUUAAUUACAAAACCAAUUACGCAGAUGGAGACUAAUUUGCGAGACGAAUCUAUUAAGCCUAAUUAGUCCAUGAUUUGAUAAUGUGAUGCUACAAUAAAUAUGUGUUAAUGAUGGAGUAAUUAGGCUUAAUAGAUUCAUCUCGUGAAUUAGCCUCUAAUUAGUUUUAUAAUUAGCUCAUGUUUAGUCCUCCUAAUUAGCCUCUGAAUAUUCGAUGUGACAUGAAUUUUAGUCCGGACUAAAGAUCCAAACACCCUUUGAGUUUCGGAAUCCCAAGUAGGGCUCCGUGCAGGGAUCAGGGAACCAAUCUUGUGUGCUUCACGCGAGAAUCAGUAAACUAUUUUGCGAUUGAUUGUUGGAGAACUAUUUGCCGAGAACUAUUUGCCGUAACAGGGCAAGAGGCGGAAUAUUACACUGUAUGCACGCACAAGACCAAACCCUAGCCGUGCUGAGUAGCAUCGGGACAAGAUGCCCGUGUAGCCGCCCUGCGCCAGGAAAAUAGGGCGGAGGAGGGGUCAAGGUGGGGGGGGGGGGCGGACCUGGAAGUGGAGCGGUGGAGGAAAUCGAUCGCCGGCGAUGCAGAUGCCUGUGCAGCCGCCUGCGCCGCGAAAAAAUGGCGGAAAAGAAGGGGGCCAAGGUGAGGGGCGGACCUGGAAGCGAAGUGGCGGAUCCGUCGGAGGCUCCCUGGGCGGCGGCGCCGAAGGGAAUCGACCGCCGGCGGCACAGGGUCCCGGUGGUGCACGGAGAUCCUGCACGGAACCCGCUCCUGGUUCAGAGGUGCGCGCGGUACAGGUUCAGAGAGGCGCCUGAGAAGGGAUUAGGAUAAGGCAUGAGCAGUUUGGUCAUUUCACAUCCCAAUUCCACGUUGGCAGGCUAAGUUGGCGCGCCAUGUGUGCAAAAAUAGCAAAUGCAUUGCUUCGUUUAUAGAGGGGUGGCAAAAAUAUAAGGGUAACCGUAAGAAUGGCAACCGAAGGAGUGUAAGGAUAACCAAUAAGGAGACGUGGUAUUCGUUCCGCGAUAAGCGAGUCCUAUGAUCUUGGGCACCACGUGAUCAUCGGAUCCCACCGCAGCCACCUCUAGACCGUGCCCACCGGCCACCGAAAGGCGUGGUGAAGGGCAGGCCGCAGAACAUGCACGGGCCUCUGCAGCUUUUCAGAAGGAAACAAACAAAGAGAGCAGCAGCACGCAGUGCUGCAAGCCCGCAACCAUGGCCCCGGGAGAUUCUCGCAUUCUUCUCAUCUUCUGACUUCUGUGAUGCUGGAGGAGGGGGAAUCGGGAAUCUUUGGAAUCUCGAUCAUGUGACUGCGAGUGCAACCGGCUCCCCGUGAUGCUGGAGGAGGGGGAAUCGGGGAUCUCUCGAAUCUCGAUCAUGUGACUGCGAGUGCAAUCGGCUCCCUGUGAUGCUGGAGGAGGGGGAAUCGGGGAUCUCUCGAAUCUCGAUCAUGUGACUGCGAGUGCAACCGGCUCCGUGGCUCCGUGCAAAAAAGCUCAUGCAGGGUGCAUGAUCGUGCCGUAUCUCGCCGCCAAUCUCGAUCUACUACUUGCCUUCAGGCUUCAGCCUUCUUCUCGGAUUUAAAGGAUAAGUAUGACGACGACUUUCCAAGGGUCUACGAUGCAAAUGCAACAUCAUUCAUGGAAGACACGUUAUACUAUCUCGUUUUCCCCUCUGGAGAGUGACCCUCUUUCUCUCCGGCAAGUGUGGAACGCAACGCGUGCUGCCGCAUUAGCUCGACGUCCUAGAAUGAUCUGGGGGCUUCCGGAAGGACAAUGCGAAGGUGCGAAUUAUUGGCGCUGGAAAGGCGAUGCGGGUCACAUGCGAAGCAAUGAGCCUGCAGGGACGUAUUUUUGCAGGUGGGUUCAUUCCUUCCUCUCCUCUGGGUCGCGAUCGUGGGAUGUUUGCCCUUAAUUUGGCUCACGGGCUCAGUUUAAUUUGGCUUCUUAUUUGGCAAACAAGAAUCUUUAAUUUCAGCGAGCUAAUAUAAAAAGGGCAAGGACACCACACGUGCCUGCUGUCUCCUGGGUCGCGAAGAUAGUAUCGCUGGCAACAAGAUCAGCGGAGUAUGCUGUGUUCCGCUUGGCUAGCCUGCUAUGCUCGCUGUUAGCAGAUUAUGGCUGAGCUUUAGCAUGCCCCGAAUUUUAAAAGACUCGCCUAGUCGCCUCCGUCCGACCUUCCGAUCCCAGCCCCGUGCACGAGAACGACGCCGACCACUCCACUCCAUCCAUCGCCUGUUGGCCGGCUCUGCUCAACCUCCAGCGCGCGAACAGGUGCAAAUGCAACGCGCCGCGCCCGCGCAUAUGCUAUCAAGCGGGGCGUCGCCCGUGCUGCCGGCCGACGACGGACACUCACGUUUAACAUGUCCUGUAUUUCGUUGACGUUGAGCUUUAGCCAGUUACGUAAUCAUCAUUAUCUUUUUUACCCAAAGUUUCGUUCAGUAUUAGUAGUACAGCCAGCUGUACUAGUAGCAAACUGGAGUAGCAAACAAGGUGGUGGAGCGGAGUGGUGGUCCACUGGUCCUGGCAGCACUGCAUUGCCAUCCGUGGCACAUGCUGGGAAGAAAAAAAAGAUCUGACCAAACCUAUAGUCACAACAAAAAUCUGAUUGUUGAAGGGUGUUUGUACUUAAAUGUUUUGUUGAUCAUGACCGGAUGUCCGGAUCGUUUGUGAUCUUGUUGUCCCACGUUUCGGCGCAAGCUUUCAGUUAUGUAUGGCCUUGUUUAGUUUCACCAAAACUCCCAAUUUUGACACUAUGCAAAAAGAAGAUUCCCCGUCACAUCAAACUUGUGGUACAUGCAUGAAGUACUAAAUGUAGACGAAAUUAAAAACUAAUUCCACAGUUUUGUUGUACUUUGUGAGACGAAUCUUUUGAGCCUAAUUAGUCAAUAUUUGGACAAUAAUUCACAAAUACAAACGAAACGCUACAGUGUGCAACAGUACUACAACAGUAAUUUUGGACACCCAAAUUCAGGGCAACUAAACAAGGCCUAUAUUGCAGCCUAUGAUCUCACAGUAUCCAUCUUGCAAUGUUUUCAGCACUGAACUUUGUAAACCAAGCGUGUGUCUUGUUGUGCAGAUCUACCACCGCUGUGUUCAGAAACAUGUGGAGUUCAAGGGAUCCCGGAGUUCAACCCGGAAACUACAUUACCAGCAUACUAGCAGUAUAUCUUGUUCGCACAAGAACUCACGUCAUCUCCUGCUUAUUUGGGUAUUGAGUCGACUACUAAAUUUGUCAGUCAGCAAGAGUCCCUGCAAGAUAUUUUUCCACGAUUUUAGUAGUCAAUCUGGACCGGAGGGAUUUUAGUAGUCAAUCUGGACCGGAGGCUGGAGCUGGUGUUUGGAUACGAGGUGCUAAACUUUAGCAGGAUCACAUCAGAUAUUCGGAUGCUAAUUAGGAGGAUUAAACAUGAGCUAAUUACAAAACUAAUUGCACAGAUAGAGUCUAAUUUACGAGACAAAUCUAUUAAGGCUAAUUAAUCCAUCAUUUGACAAUGUGGUGCUACAGUAACUAUUUGCUAAUGAUGGAUUAAUUAGGCUUAAUAGAUUCAUCUCGCGAAUUAGCACAGGGGUUCUACAAUUAGUUUUAUAAUUAACAGAUAUUUAGUCCUCCUCAUUAGCAUCCGAAUAUCUAAUGUGACACAGCUAAAGUUUAGCAACCAGUAUCAAACGCACCCUAACUGAAUCAUUCUCUUCUCCAGGCUCGAUGGAUCUGAAUUUCUGAAUCGAAUCCAAGGGGGGGCUCUAUGCAAGGAUCACGGAAUCUUUGUAGGCAGAAUCUGUGCUUGAUUGACUGAUUGUUGGAGCCCUCCGUCCGUUUGUUGUUAUCAGCUUAUCAUAUUUAUCAUAUAGUCAUUCGUUUGGAAUUAGCAGUAACAUAUAAGUCCUGUUUAGAUACACUUUUUCUAACCAUGCUUAAUUAUAAUCUAAGCGAAGAUUUUCUCCCUUAUCGUAGUUUAAAUCUCUAAAGCGACUUACCACAUAAGCUAGACAUAAGCGAGAAUUGAUGAAAAUAAACAAAAUCGUUUGACAUAAUUUUUGCUUAUUUCCACUGAUAAAUUGCUUAUAAACGGAAAUAAAUAGGCUCAUAGUAGGCCUGUGGUCCUGCCAGCAAGUGCCAAGUGGGAUAUGCCUCUGUCCACGGCACAUGUUACCGACUGGAGGCGAAAUUUUUUUGACCCGACGUAGCUGUCGCUGAUAAGCGCGUUCUCUGAUCCUCUGCACCACGUGAUCACCAGAUCCAACCCGCAGUCACAAGAAAAAACGAGGGCGAUUCCAAUUUCACCUGCUCGGAAUGAAACCGAAAGGCGUGGUGGAAAGCUGGCCACAAAGAACAUGUGGACCGAAGACCGCGCCGUUGCAGCUUGCGGAAGGAAACAAACAAGCGAGCAGCUGCAUGCAGCAACCAUGGCCAGUUGGCCACCCGGACCGGGAGAUUCUCGCGUUCGAGCGAGGUGCGAAUUUUCCACGUGUGGCGUAGGAAACGUAUCGUGUUUGGCGCAGGAAAACGGACACCCGUCGACCGUCGUCGUGUCAAACGAGCUCACGAGCCCUUUCCAAGAUUUUUGCACACCAUGCCAAAAGCAGCUGAGGAGGAGAACUUGCUUCUCAUAGCCGCCAUGCCAAAAGAUCAGCAGCAGGCCGUUGCCUGUACCGCUAAUUUCCGUAGCGUAGCUGCGUCGUCUGCACUUGUUCUACUCCUAGGCUCCUACCGUGGCUUGGGCCUUCGCUGUAGCUGGAUUCAGAGCCAUGCAGGGACCAGGGAGUGAGGUGGUGGUGGUGCCGUGGUAGGUGGCGCCCGGACCACAUUCCUGCUCCCGUGAAGCUGUAGGGAAUCUGGGAUCUAUCUGGUGGGUCUGAAUUGAAUCACGCGCAACCACCUCUAUGGCAAUAUGCAAAAGGUCAUGCGAGGUGCAUGAUUGUCCUCAUGUCCUGUAUCAACAACUAUCAACUCGUGGUGGAACACGUUCUGAAUGAAUGAACUUGCUGCCAAUCUCUACGUGCCUUCACUCUCGGAUUUGACGGAUAGUAAGAUGUGUUUCCAAGGAUCUACUAGGGUGCAACAUCAUCACUCAUAUAAGAUAGAUACGGUACAUCGCCUUCCCCUCAUCCGGCUGCGCUAUACCGUAAUGGAAUGGAGAUCCUCCUGUAGUUUCAUGGAUAGCCGGAUAGCGAAAAGUUCAUCCACCCUUUCACACACGGUCCGUAAGAUCAUACUCCGGGGGGCACAAGAGCCUGAUGACACAGAAAGUGAUAUUUCUGUCCGGCAAGUGUGGAACGCAACGCAUGCUGCCUUCUAGAAUGAUCUAGGGGCUUCCGGAAGGACAAUCGGAGGAGCGAAUUAUUGGCGCUGGAAAGGUGAUGCAGGUCACAUGCCUGCGAACCAAUUGCGCGCGCGUACUGUACGCACCUAUUUGCUUUGCAGGUGGGUUCUUGCAUUGGCUCGCGAUCGUGGGAUGUUUGCUCUUUUAUAUGCUUGGCUUAAUCUGGCUUGCUUUGGCAAGCAAGGAUCUCUAAUUUCAGCGAGCUAAUCGAAAAAGGCAAGGACACCACACGUGGUUGCUGCCUAGCUUGCUGGUUACAAGGAGCUCAUUAUGCCACCAAGAUCAGCAUGUUGAACAGAACAGAUUAGUGUCGGCUCCAUAUGCCUAGCUGGUUGGGCUUUAGAGCAACUCCAAAAGCUCCCUUAAAUUACCCCUAAUACCUUAAUUAGGAAGAAAAAGGAAAAAAAACCUCUCAAACAGCUCCCCCAAUCCUACCGCAAAUAUUCACCGAGCCGAAUCGAGAACCGUCACCCUACAAAUUUGCGCGAGUUUUUUUCUCCCCCAAUCGCCCCGAGCUUCCUUUCCACGCGCCUGAUCCGCUCUCCCAGCGCAAGUCUCCAUCCUCGCAAGUCGCGAGUGCCCGCGCGUGUCAGCACCAAGGGAACAGGGUCCCUCGAGAAGGCACGGGGCCCGCCUGCAAAAAGGGGCUCCCUCUUCAUGGAGCCCAACUAAGGAGAUGGGCUCCGGAAAUCAAAGCCCGAGAAGGACCAAGAAAAUAUCACCUCGACAUGGUGGGGCCUACUGAGGGCCCACAUAGUGGGAAUGGGGUGCUCCUAAGGAGGCUUUCCGGGAAGCCCCCGAGAAAGCUCGCUUCGGGGUGAAGCAAGUGGUGGCGCGACAGUCGAGCUAGGCCGUUAGCAGGCGCUCCGUCCUUGUAAAAACACCAUCAUUAUGGUUGACGGGGCGCGCCUGGGCGCCUUGGGGUCUGACGGCCUCACCCAUCCCAUCCAACAGGUGGCAACCGCCGCCCUCAUGUCAAGAGCGUCUGCCACGCUCCCGGCCGCCCUAUGCCAUGAGGUGGGUCCACACCGCAGCCUCGGGAAGAGGCGAAGGUCUCCUGGGAAGAGUCCCAGGAAGCGAAUUGAAUGCCCCCUAUCCCAGGAUGAUGGGUCCAAACUGAGAAGAGCUCGAAUUACCAGGGUAAGAUGGUAAAAAGGGAUUGAGAUGCAAGGGACUUGGUCAAGGUGCUCCGGCACCUUGCGAACCAAGGCAACCAAGGCAAGGAAGCGUCAGGGCAAAUGGAUGGCAUGUCAGAGGAACUGUAGCAAGGAGGGUGGCCAUUGGGCCGCUGCAUUCAUACACACAAUGUAAAGGGAUGGAUUGGGGUGCAAGGCUACCCCCAUCAGUCCUCCCAUGGGCCUGGUCUAUAAAAGGCCAGCUCUUGUACAAACACAGGGAGACAACUCUAAGCAAGAUAACACACAGAACGUAGGGUAUGACACUUCGAAGCGGCCUGAACCUGUCUAAAAACCCUCUGAGCGCAAUCAUCCAAAAAACUCCCUUCAACACCUCUUGAAUUCCUACGCACAAACUAACUCCCAGACCGGAUCUCUAAAAGGGGGUCCCAUCGGAUCCCCACUCUCGGUGCUUGACCACCGUCAGCUGGCGCGCCAGGUAGGGGGAUAGUGGUGUGUUGAGAUCUGAGGCUUCCUAGUUGCAUAGAGGCAAUGGGGAGCCGUUUCCAUCAUCGUGGAGCCCGACAGUGAGUUGGAUGGCAAAGAUAAUGGUGGACAAGAAACACUCCACCGAUGGGCGGCAACGUCGAAUCGGUGACACCCGUCCUUGCUUCACGGCGGCCGAACACCGCAGCUUCGGUGCCGCCGCACAUCAACACUCUGCACUUAGUCUCCGGCGGAACUGUCUCCACUGUGCGACGAGUGGCUUGCUUCCGCAAGGAGGCAAACAAACGUGUCGAGGCAGCGGCCCGCCGACACAGCUCACGCGCCUGCCGCCGCCUUAACUUCGACAACCUGAUGCCCUGAUGGCCGCACAAGCCCUCCUUCAUCAUCCACCGUAGAGGAUAGGGUCGAGACCUCGGAGGGGCGAUGGUUGGAGGAUUUGGCCAAGCUGGUGGGCAAGGCUCAGACUCCCUACGGGCUGGGCGAAAGUUCAUGCGGCUAAACCGGCCAGGACGGACACAGGUCCGAUUUGGCCCGCCACCCAUCCCCUAGCCGAUCACGGAAGUCCAUCAUGUCUCCCCCCGCUCUGGACAGUAGGACUUGCGCACUCUCCUUGAGCAAAACUGCUCGAGGGAGGAUGUGUGAGUCACCCUGGAGCGGAGCCAGGAGCGGCAUCACGAUCUGCCCCAGACGGAAGACCAAGCCUUGUCGGGAUCCGCCCCUAGGGGGUAUUCUCGACGAGAAGGGAGGACCCACAUGAAUGGGGACGAUGAUGCUGGCCCAUACGGGGCUGGGUGCCGUGCCUUCACGGCCGACCUCCGUCGGGUCGACUGGCCAAACAAGUUCCAGCCUAAGAUCCUGGAGAAAUACGAUGGCACCAUCGACCUGGAGGAGUUCCUCCAAAUCUACAUGACGUCCAUUCAGGCUGUCGGGGGGGGGGGGGCAAAAGUCAUGGCCAACAACUUCCAUGUCACCCUCCGAGGGUCGGCACGGUCGUGGCUCAUGAAUCUCCCUGCAGGAUCUGUUCAUUCAUGGGCAGAUCUGAGUGAGCAGUUCGUCGCCAACUUUGCGGGUUCAAUUACCCGACCGAGCAUGGAGAGCGAUCUCCACACCGUUCAUCAGCGUGAUGACAAAACGCUACGGCAAUACAUCCAGCGUUUCAACCAAGUCCGCAACACUAUCCCUCUCAUUCCCCCGACCUCGGUGAUACUCACCUUCAAGCAAGGUCUCCCUGACCAGCGGCUGAGGGGAAAGUUGGGGAUCCACAUCAUUGAGACGGUGGCAAAACUGUUUGCCCUGGACGACAAGUACGCCCGGGAGGCUGAAGCUCAAGCCCUGCCUCCCCCACGGGAGACGACUGCCCAGCAGGAAGAGAAGCAUCCCCGACCCGGCAAGGGCCAGGGGAAAAAAGAACAAGAGAAAAGUUGUUGCCGCGCUGGGUCUGGAGGGCCGUAACCGGCCUCCGCUACCCAGGGGUCCGCGAGAGAGGGUCCCUAACCAACUUAUAUGGUGAAGCUAUGCUGCACCUGUUGAGAAGUUGACAGAGGGAUAGCAGGAUGCCACACGCGCGCGCUCGUCGAGCCGUGCCGUGCCGUGUGUUGCAUUAACCUGGGCGUCCAAAGGUCUUCUGCAACCUAUAAGAGAGAGGCUGCCUCUCAUUCUGGACUUCAUCGGAAGAGCAUGCCUCCGAAGCUGCACUCUUCACCAGAGACUCUGCACCCGAGGAGUAGAAGGGCGAUCAAGUUUUUUGGGAGCGCGUUUGCACGAUUGCUCACUGUUCGUUUACGACUACUUCCCGGUGACGCAUCUGCACUGCCUUAGCUCUACACUGCUUCAACUCUUGAACGGCUACGUUAAAUAGGCUCGACUAUCAAUGUCGGGUAACGGCACAUUCGGUUCCUCCGGAACUGGCCCCGCCUCUGGGUAUUUCCUUUUGAACUUUCUCAUUCAAUUCUUAUGUUUUAUGGUACCUACAUGUUCAUUGCAAAUACAAUAGAUCAUAUUUCUGUUUACACUAUCUUAACUGUCAUGUUUUAUUCUAUAUAUUUUGGAUUAAAAUGAACCGUAAAAUGCUUCUAAUUCCAAGGCGCCAUGAGGUCCCACCAGUCCGAGCGCAUCCGCCGGCUCGCGAGCGACGUCAUCCGCGUGGCCGUCGAGGAAGAUAUCGCCAGGACGAAGGAACUCCAUGGCGUGCGCCGUGUCAAGGUGGCAGACGAGAGGCCUCUACGCAAGAAGAUGCCGCCUUCCGAGGAGGAGGAGAAGAUCGUGGCCACCAAGCGCAAGCUCUGGGAGGGGUACCGGGAGGCGGAAGACGCCAAGCACCAGAGGAAGAUCCAGGUGAUCCAGGAGCCCAAGAUGCUGGAGCAGAGGCAUCGGAAGAUGCACCCGAUCCUGCGCGAGCGGAGCCAGGCGAGAUGCGGGAUGCCCACUGCUGUCAGGCGCUGUUUCGUCUCGUCGUCUAACAGGGUCUAAGGCUCUGUAGCUGUAGGGGAUAGGAUCAAACACCUCCGUGUAAUACUGCACCUGUAAUGAGUAGAUUGCAGCAAAAGAGCUGUUCUGUAUGUUGCUAAGAUUUUAUUCUUCUGAUUUGUCCAAAUUUUUCCAUGUAGUUCCCAGUGAUAAACGCAUGGAACAUGAAAAUCGUAAUGUAUAUUGCGCGCAUUGAACUCUACGCUUCCUGGGCACGGUUCAAUCAGCUGCCUCGGCGCAGCAAUACAGCUUGUCAGUAAGGAGUGUUCAGAGUUACUAGUAUUCUUUUCUGAAUGUGUUGUCUAAAUUGUUGUCCAUGUGUUCCUCAAAAAAAUAAAUUGUUUUCCAUGUGAUGUUUCCUAAGUUUUCGGUGUGUGAUGACUUGAUCAUGGUCAUGGCGACGUUCUGCGAUGCGGUAACACGCCUGACAUCGGGGGAGAUCAUGUGAUGUUCAGAUGCGCGAUCCCAACUGAUUACUGCAUAUCUGAACAUAACUCGGGUCUUUUGAGCUAGCGAGUUGCUCACUGAUGCCAUCUGAGUUUGCUGAUGGGCCAGUAUUGCGUUAGGCCAGUUAGACAAGGUUUGCGAGGCCCAUUAGUUUGGGCCUUCGUCUAACGGAACUGGCUGUGGAAAAGGAGCUUUCAAGCUUUUACACUCUACUACAUUGUUUUUUUUCUGGAAAGUACUCUACUACUCCUGUGCAGGUUGCUCAAGUUAUUUUUUUUCCCCAAAAAAAAAAAAACGAAAUGCACGGUGCCAGGAGGAAGACAACCAAGGUUAAAAUGUAAACAGAUAAAUAGAGACAAAAGAAGAACACAGAGCUGCCGGCACUACCUAUGCCAGGAGCAGGACAAUAAUAAUAAUAAGAAGAAGAAGAAGCAGAUAAUGAACGAACAAGCUGGCGAUCAAGCUAACACACUUGUCAUGGAAUGGCCGCUAGCAUCUCCUCAUCCGUCAUGCCCUAUCUGCCAGCUGCAAAAGACCUGGUUGCCUCUGCAAUGCCCGGCCCAAGCUCUGAAACCGACCCUGCCCCAGUCUCAUCCCCUACCUUAUCCAACAAAUUUUCGAAAGGACAACGGACAGCGCUGACCAUAGCCGAAGAGUAAAUAAAAAAAUUGAAGAUAAAGUACAUUUUAAAGUACGUUGACAUAACUUUGGAGCUUGCAACAGCCAUAAUUUGUGCUAAGCGUUGUAUGGAAGCCAUGAUUUCAGGAGAUCGAUGGAGGAUAAUGUGCGAUGCAAGAGUCAAACCCCUAUCUGUCUAAGCUAGCUGCGAUGUUUGGUGCUUCUUCUUUGUUGCUUUAGAUUGCAUUGUGUGCAUGCAAUAUGUCCGACAAAACCGACAUCAAUCUAGCUGCAAGAUGCAUGCAUGCAGUUUGGAUUGCUCGUGAGUGACGGCUAACGAAGGCGGCCAAACUAAAUGACACGCCGAUGUCUCUGCAGAGAAGGCACACCGACCAGCAGCAAUCUCUCUACUUCUCAUCAACACACAGUAAACAACUUGUUUCCAUUCCAAUUUGCCAAGUACGGUACAUUUAUUUUGUCCUGUGAAUAAUAUUGAGUAAAUUUCAACAGUGGUCAUUAAACUUGUCCCGAGUUCUCACCCGAUCCCCGUAUUCUCAAAAUGCCCAUAAUGGUCCUUAAACUUAUCAUGAGCUCUCAUCCUGAUCCUCGAAUGUGUCUCGAGCUCUCAUCCUGAUCCUGGUACUCUCAAAAUACACAUGACGACCAUCCCUAAACUUGUCCCGAGUUCUCAUCCUUGUCCUGGGUUCUCAUCCACUAAAACUUUGAGUGGGAUUUGAACUUAGUUUAAAAUCCUCAUGAAAUUUUGAUUAGUUUUGAAUGUGAUACAAACUUGUUUUGAAAUACUUAUGAACUUUAGAUCAAUUUGAGUGGGAUUCAAAUCCUAAAAGUUCAAAUCCCACUCAAAUUCAUUCCGAAAUUCAUGAGAAAUUGAAACCAAGUUCAAAUCCCAUUCAAAAUUGAUAAAAGAAUUCAUGAGGAUUUGAAACCAAGUUCAAAUCUAACUCAAAGUUCUAGUGGAUGAGAGCUCGGCACAACCUUAUAGACCCAGAUGAGCGCUCGGAACAAGUUUAUGGACCUGAAUGAGAGCUCAGGACAAGUUUAGGGACUGUUAUGUGUAUUUCGAAAGUAUCGGGACUAGAAUGAGAGUUUGGGAUAAGUUUAAGGAUUGCAAUGUGUAUUUUGAGAGUACCGGAAUCAGGAUGAGAACUUCGGCCACGUUGAAGGACCGCUGGUGAAAUUUACUUAAGAAUAUUUAUACACCGAAGUGGAUAAGAUGUCAAUGGACGAAAGAGAGAGUAAUAAUUUACAUUGUGUACAACUGGCCCGGUUUGCAGAAUCUGGACAGUGACUUGCAUCAAAUGGCAAGGUUUCACAGUGCCACAGCGAACCAGUGAUCUGCAUAGAUGCGUAUUAUGUUUUGUGGCUUAGUUCAGGGAAUCUAGAACUAUGAUGAUGAGAUCCAAAGUUCCAUUGGCCGCCUCGUAUCUGCCCUCUUUAUGGAUCUGAUCUCUUGUGCCACUUGUUAGUAGCGUGUUUCAUUUCAUAUAGCAAUGCUUGCCAUCUUGAGACAUGGUACUAUUCGUUCUAAUGUCAACGAGCUACCCACAUGAUGACUAUCUAUCUAUAUGUUUCCUAUAAAAAACAUAUAUAUUGUUUCCUGAUAUUUGUAGUAGAGAGUUUUCUUUUGUGCGACUUGUGUGGAUUUCUUUAUAAUAACUCAAGAUGUAUUGCACCAACGUCAACUAUAUAUAGGAAUGGAUUAGCCACAUGUACAUGUGAUUUGAAAGAAAUAUUACUCUGUUAGAGUUAGGUUUUCACUUGGCUGUGUGCGGUUGCAGAGGCCGGAAACCAUUCAAUUUUCUAAAAAAAGAGUUAGGCCUUCAUAACCCUAUUACACAUAACACUAAAACAGAUGCAAUGCCUACCUGCAAACUCAGUCAAUAAAACAUUGAGCAAACAUGUACGGAAAAUAUAUGCACAUUUAUAUAUAUAUCCAGAUGUAUAAAAUUAGGUGGUAUUGUGUCUACCCUAGUACAAUGUAAAAAGAAAAUAAAUAGGUGGACGGGGAAGAUAUUAUAUAUAUGAUCGUGGUCUGAGCUUAUCAUUGGUUAUCAUGCAUGCGACCAUGCUGGCCGGAUUGUGAUGUCAUCUGUCUGCAUCGCUACAUAAAUGCCUGAUUUUUAAUCAACCAAUUAAAGAUUGGAAAUGAUGUUAAGUGGCAUGCUUGGAGUCGUCAGAAUAUCUCUCAUGAACGCCAUGCCUAACCUUGCUUAUUUUUUCAAGCUCUUGGUCAACAGUAAAUUAAAGCACUUCAUGCAUGAUAGGUCUGAGCUUAUCUGUACGUUUAAUAAUAUAGCAGAUUACCCUUUCGAAAAAGAAUAGUAGAUUAGCCAUAUAAUUGUAGGCUUCUAGUAUUUUACAACAUUAUGAAUUUGCACAUGUUGGCUUCUUUGAUGUGCUUAAGCGCCAAUCUAACAUAUGUUAAUCGAUUUGCCGCAAAUGGCCCUAUCGGUUUGUAUGGUCUAUGUCUCCUUUCUGGGAGCUAGAGGCCAAUUUGCAAACCAAUAACGGCGACGAUCCGUGCAUGUUUAAUAGUGGCCCGUUGUGCCUUCUUCCCGUCCAUAUAGCUCUGCAGAUAAGAGUAACACAGAUGUACACAUUCAGUUGCGACAUGUUUGCUACUAUAUAAAGAUUCUAAAGGUGAUUAAGAUCCCAUAUAUGAAAGUUAGUAUUUUUUUAAUGCGUGUCUAUUUGCAUAGAAUCAUGUUGUUCUUUUGCAAGUGUGGCAAAUAUUACACGCACUUGAAAUGCCAUGACUGAAUGCCAGGGAUAAAAACAGGCGGGAAAACAAGAAUGCCUAGGAAUAUUUUCUUCCAAAAUAAAGAAACUAGUCAAAAUACUGUUAGUGAUCAAUCUACGUGUGUGGUGAGUUUGUACACCCACACCUCACAUGCUUUAAGAGCUGAAUGUCUCUAGUUUUAGUUCUCCCAUGCAUGGUCAAACAGCCAUGCAUCAUCAGAAGGGUCAGCGAGUCCUAAUUGGAAGGAACCAUCUACACUAUAACGGCUUGCGCCUUGGCCGGGGUGUUAGCUGUUCAUCCUGCAAACGAACGCGUGUCAUGUCAGCGUGCCGGCCUGCAACCUUGCAGAUAGGCAUUUCCCAGCUUGCCUCCCAUAUGACAUUAAACAACGGCACAUCUUGGGAUACAUCUCCCAAAUAGUCAACCGAUUAAAAAUAGGACUUCUCCAUCUACUACUCUACCAUGCAUUAUGCAUUAAAAUGUCAACGGACUUACCAGAUAAGCAUACGCAGAAACUAUUUCGAAGCUUCUGAUAUACCCGGCCUGCAUCAAGCAUUUUCUAUUACGCCUGCAUUUGCUCGUUGCGCUUCAGAAAGGCCAAGAUUAAAAGCGCUGUACUCUGAAUUGUUUAGGUAACGAGCGCUGUACUUUGAUAUGUGCACAGUAAGCCACUCUCCUUGCAUGUAGUACUGAUCCGCAGUUUCUUUUAUCGUUCUGGGGGCGUUGAGCUGGUGGAUGCAAACGUUUCAGCCACUUGAAGGACCAAUGGAAGUGAAGCAUGCGUCGACGAUCACAUUCUGAAGAUCCACCGAUUUGCCGCAGUUUGCCUCUGAUCUUAGGACUACUCGUAUGGUUAUUUUACUCUUUUAGGGCACCAUAAGCCGUGGGCGCUGUAUGCUCCUUUUAGCUAUAGCUUAAUGUACUUUUCAAGUUCGUAUGGCUGCCGUCCAUGAUCCAUCAAUCUAGUUGAAAAGUACAAAUAAAAGCAUGGAUCGGCUGUCUACGUACUCAAUGUUCAGAGGUUAAAAGAAAAAAGCGAAAGCAUGGAAAUUCACAUACAACAGAAUCCUUUUCAUUCCUUACGUAGGGCAUUACAUUAGCAAGAUUAUUCCUUUUCAAACCUCAGAAUAUGCAGCUAUGCGUAGACGAUCUGGAUUAGCCAUCAAUAUUGUAUGCUGAGAUCCAUGAUUGGAUUCAGAGAAGUAUACAAAUGCAUCCACUGCACCAAUCACAGAUUGAUCCCUCUGGCCCUUACGCUUUGAAUUGACAGCAAGAUAAAGAAAUCGCGACAACACAAGCCCGGUUAUAUACAGUACGUGUAGAGCAAAUAAAAGGUAAUUAAUCAAGACCUCAAGACUGAGCAAUUGUGCAUUUUACCCAUGUACAACCUGGUUCUGAAAAUGACGCCACGUACUUGACAACUCUCCAAGUGUCGACCUGCGAUCGUGUUUCAGCAAGACGGCUAGCAACUAUUGUCGAUGCAUGCGUACACACGGGAUCGGAGCAUACUUUCUUAACUUGAGCAACAGACGGGAAUGUACUGGAUGAGAGCUUAACUGGUCUUCUUUGUGUGGUGCAAAUAAUGCAAAAUGGCGAGAAAUAUCGGUGUUUUAUACCCGGUAACCUACCGAGGGUAUCCCGAGGUAGUAGAUUGGUUGAUGGAGGAUCACCAAACCUGUAACUUGAUGGUAAAAGCGAGGACACAAGACACGGACUUAUACAAAUGUGGGCCGUCAGAGUAGCGUAAUACCCUACAUCCUAUUUGGGGUGUUGUAUAUUGCACCCUACGCUAGGGUGUUAUUUGGUAUUGAGGAUUUGGACCUCUGUUGUGGUGCUCCGUUGUGGUUUUAUGAGGUCUUUGCCUACCGAUCUAGGGACCCCUACUCUCCUUUAUAUACUCCAGGGGGCGGGAUUACUAGUCGGUUACAAGGAGGAGUCCUAGUAGGAUUACAUGGUAUGAGUUAUAGUAGGAUUACAGGAGAAUUCUAGUAGUAUUCCACCUUCUUCCUUCCCUGCGGGUAUUGGGGAUUUAUCCCCGAUAAGCCCCCGAGCGCUUCACAGUCGAAUGCAGCAGAGUACUUUUCAGAUACUCGCUGAGUAGUUUUGGUGCUUUUCGAGUACUUUGUCUAGCUGAAUCUUCAAAGUCCUCAAAGCUAUCAUGAGGUUAUGGUGUGCUCAAGCCCUUGAUCGUCUUGAUUUUGUAAUCUUCAUCUUUGAAAUAUGAUAUGGAGGGCGGCAGAAGUCGCACUCCAUAUGGAGUAGCCCCCGAGCCUUAGGUUGAAUCGAAGAAUCAGGCUGAGAUUCUUUCUUCGUCUUGAAAAAAUCAACUAUUGGGUGUAGCUCAUCAGCCCCCGAGCCUUGGAAUGAUUAAAUAAUCAUUUCAAGGGUCUAGCGAGCUUUAGCCUUCACGCAAGUCAUCAUCCGAGUAGUUUUGCGGGGGCUGGCGUCCAGCUCUCGAGCUUAUGCGCCAGGUGAGCCGUAAAAGCCACGUUGAAUAGUUAUUGGCACUUAGCCCCCGAGCUUGGAAGCUAGCUGAGCCACUGGAGAUAUUCCAAGUAGUAAUUGACGCUUAGCCCCCGAGUCUGGGAGCUAGCGGAGCCAUUGGAGAGACGCUGAGUGUCCUGAAGAGUCGUCGCCGAAGCUUGACCUGAAAAAAGUGAUGCAUACAUUAUGUAGCAUAUUGUGGAAUAUUGAAACUACUGAAAUUUAUUCAGUGAUGAAUGUAAUGUAAAUGUUAUAUGUCAUACUCUUGUUUCGGCCAUAUUUUUCUCGAGUAGUUAUCCUAUUAUGUUUAGACUGUUAGUACCUGUUUAGCCAUUGCCACUACAUAUGAGAUCUUUGUCUCGUGUACGUGCACGGGCACUGCUGCUACAGAGAUCUUUAUCUCGUGUCCUAGUGUUUAGGCAUGACAGAAGAUCCGAGGCUAUCACUAAUUAAGGCGUGUUCUGCUCGAGGAUAUUAGUGACCACUAAGAGAAGACAUUUAAAAUAAGUAAUCGGCAUUGCACAAAAAUACUACGCAAUUGCGUGUAAGGUAGUCAUUGAGACUUUUCUGUCUUUUUGGCGAGGAGACGUAUGUUGCCGCGCAUAGAAUUUGUACCUCCUUAGGGUGUAGCCGAUGUGAGCCUCCAGCACUCAGUGCACCAAACUUUGUGGCAAAACCUCCUAAUUCGGUGUACCAAGCAUGUGGCGGAGCUUCCAAAACUCAGUGCACCAAACCCGUAGCGAUAGCCUUCGUAAUUCAGUGUACCAAGCCUAUGGUUUUCGGUCAAUAUGACCCAAGAAUAGUCGGCGAGGUGUAGCUCUGAAGGGUAAUAACCGUCGAGAGGCGUACACAAAAAAGUACUCGGUGUGUUGCCCUGCACGCAGAAAACAAGCCGGAAAAGUUAUAUAAAAUAAUUAGAAAAGUUAUAUAAAAUAAUUUAAAAAGUGACUUAGCUUGAUUCGUGGAUGAUUGUCGACGAAGCCGUAUCGAUUAUUGAUGUAGCCAACUAGUCGGAGUCGAUUCCGACUAGUUGUUGAUCACGUGUGUAGGAUCUAGGAUACUGGCUAGAGGGGGUGAAUAGGCGGUUUUAAGCUAAAAUACAAUACUUAAUAAACUUUAAUUAGAAACCCACAAGAUAAGCAACAACUAGUAAAUCUACUACUAGGUAUGUCAACAUGAGCUAGGAUGACAAGAAAUAAAACAAGAUAGAUGAAAGCAUUCACUUGAAGUAAGUACUACUACGAAGGUAGAGAGCAAGAUGACAACAGAGAGAGAGACCGAUGUUUUCCCAUGGUGUCGAUGACUUGCCAGUCACCCCUAAUCCACGUUGAGGUGGAUUCAAUGAGGUGGAUUCAAUGAUUCAAUCGCUUCUCUAUCAAGACACCGCUUGAUGUUUAAGCCGAAUUAAAUCAAAGAACCUCUCCAAACCUCGUUUCACUAGAGUUGCUCUUCACCACUCCGAUGAGGUGAGCACAAAACCUCUCACAAGAAUAGCUGGAGCAACUUCACAAUCUCCUUGAAGUGCUCAACAACUCCACAAGCUCCAAGCCAUCUAGGAGGCGGCAACCUCCAAGAGUAAUAAGCCAAUUGACGCUUGCUUGAAGACUCCCUAGUGCCCCAAAGCUCAAGAAAUCAAUGCAAUGCACUAGAAGCCUCUCAAACUCACUAGAAAGCAAUCUCAAUUCAAUGCAAGUAAGUAAGAGGUGGAGAGAGACUCAAAAGAUCAUAAAUGUAGUUCAAAGAACCAAGAGAGAGCUCCAACAACCGGUGGGGGGUAUUUAUAACCCCCACCACCAAAACUAGCCAUUAUAGUAAAAUUUCGUGCAAAACUGGGAAACCGCGGACCGUCCGCAGUACAAGACGCGGACUGUCCGUCGUACAAAGUCCAACGGCUCUAUUGGCAUUGAAUGCGUGUCAGAGAAAAACCGUUACGGGAUCGUGGAUCAUCCGCAGUACAAGUCACGGACCGUCCGUGCCCAGUGGACCGUCCGUAGUUCAAACACCCAGCAGGAAUAGUUUCUGGAGGCCCUUAGCGGACUGUCCGCUAAAUGAACUGCGGAUCGUCCGCGGUUCAAACACCUGGCAGAAAUAGUUUCUGGAGGCCCUUAGCGGACCAUUCACUAAAUGAACGGCGAACCGUCCGCCGAUGGCGCAGAAACUCUAUCAAAAGAGAUCUUUUCAAUAUAAAAGAAACCAUAUGCUCAUCUUAGAUCAAAACUUUGAUAUGCAAUGCAUUCUUUUGAGCAAAGAGGCACUAUAGAACCCUCAAGCAAUAGGAGAAUUGACCUCUCUUAAUAGUACGGCCACCUAUCCUAUUAAAACCGAUCAUAUUGUUCAUCCACUAAGCGUCUAUUUGACUGGAAAAAAGGAAAAACCCUAUUUUAUACCUUUGCCUUGAGCCUUCCAUCAUCAAAUCAAAUUUGAAUGUCACCAUACUAAGAAUCAUGGCCACAACUCAUCCACGGGACUAAUCUACACUCAAUAUUACUCAUUGAAAAAUAUUAGCCUCAAGGGGUUGUUAUUUAUUACCAAAACUCAAAUUAUGGGCCUAGAUGCUUUCAACGUGGAACUCGCCCUCGACUAGUUUUCUAGUCAAGACGAGUAGUUGAAGUAGACCGUCCUUGACUAGUUUUCUAGUCGAGAUGAGUAGUUGAAGUAGUCGUUAGCGAGCUGGCGUAGAUGUCCUGCCCUUGCAGGAGUAGUCAAUCACAUCUCGGAUCAACAAUACUCGUUGAUGCUUGGCGUGUUUUUCCAUCUCUGAUCAACAAAGCUGGUCUCCGCUUCGAACUCGACUAAGGAAAUCGAUUCCCUGUAGGAUUCCAUCUUGACGUCGUCCAAUUCUAUUCCAUCUCGAUCUUGAUGCUUGGAGACGAUCAGGGGCUGAUGAAUUGCUUCACUCCGCACUCCGUUGCAAAUUCCAAUUCAGCGAGAACAGAUGUUAUCUUGGAAUUAGCCUAUCCGGCGACUUCGCCUCGGACUCUGAGCAGUUGCACACCGAGUCAUCGAUUGGAUGGGAGAACAACAUUCUUGUCUUGCAGAGUAGAUUGAUCUUGAUGAGGUCUUUCAAGCUCUCUCGAUGAUCUCGACGAUCACCCUUAGCACGCCAGAUGUCGGUGUUUUAUACCUGAUAACCUACUAAGGGGUAUCCUGAGUUAGUAGAUUGGUUGGUGGGGGAUCGCCGGACCUGGAACUUGAUGGUAAAAGUGAGGACACAAGACACGAAUUUAUACAGGUUCAGGCCAGCAGAGUAGCGUAAUACCUUACGUCCUAUUUGGGGUGUUGUAUAUUGCGCCCUGCGCUUGGGUGUUAUUUGAUAUUGAGGAUUUGGUCCUUUGUUGUGGUCCUCUGUUAUGGUUCUAUAAGGUCUUCGCCUACCGAUCUAGGGAUCUCUGCCCUCGUUUAUGUACUUCAGGAAGUGGAAUUACUGGUCGGUUAUAAGCAUGGUAUGAGUUCCAGUAGGAUUACAGGAAAAUUAUAGUAGGAUUUCGCCUUCUUCCUUCCCUGCUCGGAAGCACUGGGAUCUAUCCCGACAGAAAUAAACUCAACUUAAAAUACAAGUUUAUUAAUUCGUGCGCGUUGAACUAUGGGCGCCAUGAUUGUUGUCAUCGAUGAGCUCGACGUGCGCCAGUGUGCACGCGAGAACAUGUCAGCGAGCAGCCGGCAUGCGAGAACACAACGCUAAAUCUAGCUAGUUAGUGGCUAAAUUAAGUAGAGUACUCGAUCGGCAGCUAGUGGUGCAGCGCGGUAGUAGGUUUGGCGGGGGCGCGCGGUCAGCGCUGCUUCUCGCACACGGCCAUGGAGAUCACUGGAGAAUUCUACUUGCGCCAACGUUCUGUUCGUUCUCACCUGCGCGCGCCCGCGGCGCGGCCGUGUGUGCGUGCGCGUCUACGUGCCGGCGGCCGGGGCGGCAGCCGCCUGGUGCGUCCCCCGCCGACACCGCGCGUGACAGCGACGCGCACGUACGCGAUACGUCAUCCAAGGCCCGUCAAACACCGGGCGUCGCGCGUAAGCGCGGACGUGCGUGGUACGUACGGUGGUGGUGGUUGAUGAGUUAGGUUGCCCGGCCCUAUUUUUACCGUGCCGUAGUAAGAACGGGUCGUGCCAAUCCACUGAAUGCCGUUCGGCUUCUGAAUUGAACGGCGGCGUACGGAAGGUUUUGUGUUCCGCAAAAAUGUUGAGUGGUAAUUUGAGAACAUGGAUUUUUUUUUAAAAAUGUGUAUUUCAACGUAUGGUCUAUCCGGACCAUUAAUUUUGAAACCAACGGUGACAUGAAUCAUGCAUAGUUGAGAAAUCCGAUGGUUGGACGAAUAUCAUAGGAAAGAAAUGCGCCUAAAAGUGCAUGCAGAGAUACCUUUCUCAUAAUUUCUCGAAACGUGUUGACCUAAGUCUGUUCAUGGGCAGAAUGCGUGUGGUUAGUAUAUACUUUAUUUGCCUAAUCCUUGAGGUGCUAUUUUGAUCUUCUAUUUAAAGAAUAGUAAUAAUUUCACAAAACUGCGAAUAUUUGUGCCUACCUAACUAUCAAGGAACUACAAUUUUCUAGGAUUGGUUUCAUAAAUCUACCACCAUUAGAAGCAUCCGUUCCAUAAACCUACAACAAUUUGCAUGGACCCACAUAUCAGCCACACGAAUUACGUGUUGACCUACAUGUCAUUUGAAAUAAUUGAGAAUACAUUACUUGUAGAUCAAGUUCUUUCAUAGUUAGACCUAGAUAGUUGUAAUCACUCCUUUAAAAAUCUAACAGAUUUAUAAGAUUAUGAAAGUAUGUUGAAGACAAAAUCUAGCUACAUUUACGAUUUUUAACUUUUUCAAACAAAAUAUUUUAAAACUUACUAUCAGUCAAAAAUUUUAAAUGCUUGCAUGAUCCGAUGUUGCCCAAAACUCAAAUAUCUAUAAUGAUGAAGGAGCACACAGCUGAUAUGUUGCGUUUAAGAAUUUCUUUGAAAAAUUGAUAUAGCAUCAUCUCUGUAUUUUGCGUGCAUGUAAGUAUCCAUCAUACAACGGGGAACAAACAAUUAAAGAAGGUAUAAAAAUAUGUCGGCAUCCAGGCCACCUAGAUAACACACCUAAUACGGCCACGUAAUUACAGGAAACACCCAGCUUUUUCACCUCAAAGUCUCAGGUGUUUUUCUGCAAUAACGUGGUACACGUACUUUUGCUAGGGAGGCACACCAGCUCGUAAGAACGCCUCCCCAAAAAAAUGUCAAGACUGCAAAAAUCUUGUUUCACUUCACACCUACUAUAUACCAGGGCUACCAUACCAGCUAGUCACCGUGAUUCAUACGUAGACGGCCGUCGUUGUCAAGGUUUAUCGCCGGUCAGCUCUGCACCGUGAUGAGCAAGCUGGAGUCCUCGUCGCCAUGGGGCGCCGCAACCUUGAAACGCGGCGCCGUGUCUUUCCCACCGUCGUCUCCGUUCACAUUGUCGCGGGGCGCGGCCACUCCGGCGAGCACCUGCGCGAGCUCGGCCUGGCUGACCCAGUCCGUGCGGGAGAUCACCACGAGCAUCACGGCGACGCAGGCGGCCUGCGCGGCGAGGAGGCCGAGCCAGAGGCCCCUGAAUCCCUGCCCCGCCCAGAACGCCAGCGCCACGGCCACGGGCGUGCCGACGCCGUAGAACGCGCCGAGGUUGAUGCGCGCGCCGUCCUUGGGGCGCGCGCUCCCGCGGAGCACCCCGCACCCGGUGGUCUGCGGGCAGUUGCCGAGCUCGCACAGCCCGAGGAUGGGCAGCACCGACGCCGUGAGCGCCAGGAUGGAGGCGUCCGAGGUGAACAUGCGCGCCCACGCGUCGCGCACAGACACGGCGAACAGGAACGAGGCGACGCCCUGGAGUGCGCUCAGGGCGAGGCCCGCGCGGGCGGCGGCGCGCGCCGCUGCCGGGCGGUUCGCGCCGAGCUCGUUGCUGACGCGCGUAGACACGCCGAAGCUGAGCGACGACGGGAAGAUGUAGAGCAGGGACGUGGUCUGGAUGAGCACCCCCAUGGACGCGACGGUGGCCUUAGGGUUGGCCAGGAGGCCGCAGAGAAGGAUCAUGAUCUCGUACCACCACCACUCUAGGCAGACGCUGGCGCAGCUCUCGACGGCGAGCCGGGCCAGCCGCAUCCACCCGGUGACGUCCUUGAACAGCUUCUCGGAUAGGGUGAAGCCGCCGGUGGCGCGGUGCACGCCGGAGAAGUAGAUGUAGGCGAGGAGGAGGAGCACGAGGUUGAGGUUGGCCAAGGCGGAGGCGAGGGCGACGCCACCGGCGCCGAAGCCGAGGACCGAGACGAGGACGUAGUUGACGGGGAGGUGCAUGGCGACGGUGAGCACGGCGCAGGCGGUGAGCGGGAAGUUGAUGGACUGGGUCCGGAGGUAGAUGCGGAGAGGGUGGAGGAACGACUGGAAGAGGAGGUCCGGGAGGCAGAGCAGAAUGUAGCGCUGCGCGGCGGCGGCGAUGGCCGCGUCCUGGCCGCACAGCAGGAGCAGCGGCUCCAUGUGCGCCCAGAGGAAGGCGACGGGCACGGACAUCGCGAGGAGGAGGAGCACCAUCCGCUGCAUGGUGGCGCCGACGAGGGGGAGGUUCCUGGCGCCCACGGCCUGACCGCACACCGGCUCCAUGCCCGUGGCGAGGCCGGAGAGGACCGAGUAGCCCGUGAUGUUGGCGAAGCCGAUGGCGAGGGAACCGCCGGCGAGGGCGAGCUCGCCGAGUCGGCCAAGGAAGAGCAUCGAUAUCAUCGGCCGGACGUAGAGUAUGAGGCCCGUCAUGAUCAUCGGCAAUGACAGCCGCAAGAUCGACGCUGCCUCGCUCGUCGGGCCACUGGUCAACGACGGCCUGUCGGCCAAGACCGGCGGCGGCGGCGGCUGCUUCCACGUUGCCACGGUCGUCGAGUCGUUCGCGACAACGACAGAAACGUCCGGAGAGACAACGACCACACCAACCCGACGGCCAUCCCCAGCGCCGCCGUCCUUGGCAUUGCACAGGCACGGCGGCAACAGCUGGCCGACGAGCCCCUCACACAUGGCGGCUGGACGCUUCUUCCGCUGCACGUGUGCGCGCAGAGAGGUUUUGGAGGGAACCAAGGGGGGAUUCAAACGCUAGCAAAAGGCUGAAUUUAUAGGCGGAAAUGGAUAUGAUGGAUCGAUGCAAAAGAGAGAUCGGAGGGGAUUAACAAAGGAUUCGGAGCUGGGAUUAGUUCAGACGGAAGCGCUCGUCGUCUAGCCGCGGAGUGGCUGACACCCACGCUCGCAGCCGGUCUCGGCCGGCCGCGGAUCACCACGUACGACGCGCGCGCACGGGGCGUUAGUUGUUGUAUAUCGCGCGUCCCCUAGCUCGAGGACCAGGCUUCGGGAACCUACGCGGCGGGCUCAGUUGGAUCGCCCCCGGUUGUCCGGAUGGAAGGUGACAAAUGGAGCGAGAGGGAGAGAGGGGUGAGAGGGUGAAGGGAAGGCCUGAAGCCUGAAGGGGGUGAGGAGAAGUGGAGCAGGGCGGGAAGGUAUUUAUACAGGGGAUUCCAGGCCAUGCACGGGCACGGCUACUACCAUCAUGAAAUUUGUUGGCUAAUUACGCGAUUAAUUAUAUAUGGAUUAGAUUAUGAAAGUCUAGGCCCGCGUUUGGAUAUCAGGGACUAAACUUUAGCACUAUCACAUCAAAUGUUCGGAUACUGAUUAGGAGGACUAAAUAUAAGUUAAUUACAAAACUAAUUGCAGAACCCCUAGGCAUAGGCUAAAUCGCGAGACAAAUCUAUUAAGCCUAAUUAAUCUAUCAUUAGUGAAUGCUUACUGUAGCACCACAUUAUCAAAUUAUGGACUAAUUAGGCUUAAUAGAUUCGUCUCGCGAUUUAGCCUAGAGGUUGUGUAAUUAGUUUUGUAAUUAGUCUAGAUUUAAUACUUCUAAUUAGUGUCCAAACAUUCGAUGUGACGGGGGCUAAAAUUUAGCCCCCUCCUCCCAAACACCCCCUAGGUUGAUUUGGAUUAUGUAGUUUCUAUAACAAAAAGAUAGUACUUUUAGAAUUCGUUGUCGGGUUUAGGAGGACAGGAGAAAAGAGGGUUGCAAAAUGGCUAAUAAAAUGGGGUCAAUGCUUGUUUAAUCCUUCUUUCAAGGUGUGUUCUACCGAUUCUUUCUCGUCUUUUCACUUUAUAUGAAAUUGUGCAAGAAAGAUAUGUUGAGAACUUCAACUUGUUUUCUGGCUUUAAUAUUGUACUAUUUUGUUAUUUUGACUUUAGGCACGUAGACUUGUAUAGUAUUGGUGUUUUGAGUUUUGAUAUAUUAUUUUUCCCUCUACCUCGUCACACAUUAAUGUCAUAACAUCAAAUUUGUCCAUCCAUUUGUAGGUCAAGACAUAGCAUAACAAAUUGCAUGCACUCUUGAUGACCUUCUAGAAUGAUUCAUUUUUUUUCCUUUUAGCGAAUAAACUCGGAGGUUUAGUACAAAAACGAGAUGAAAUUAUCUAGAUGGUUACCAAAAAAACAAAUAAUUAAAUAAUUUAUGAAAAAUUGGCAACAUACAUGAAAUUCACAUGCAUGUUGUGUAUUUCAAAUAAUACCAAAAAAGUACAUGCUCAUUUUUUCCAAAAACACAUUACAAAUGCAUACGCUCAUAUACACGCUUUUUAAAUGGAUCACUGAGUGAGAAGUUUAUUAAUUUUUCAUUUUUUUCAUUUAUAUUUGUUUUAGCUACUUUUAGCACCAUCACGUUGUUUUAUCAUGUUCCUUGUUUGGACUGAAGGCAAUAUUUAUUAUUGAAUAGGAAUAAAAAUGUCCUAACAAUUUAGUUAAUAUUUCACUAAUAUUUGUACAAAUACUGUAAACCAUCUACCUUCUACAUUCCUCAUUUGCUGUAGAAAUUAAAAUUUUAAUGUUUGCUUUGAAUUUCCCCCCUUUACGCUGACUUAAAUUAUGUGUAUCUUUGAUAGAUUUUCCCUUAUAUUGACUUGGCUUGGUACAACGUUGGUCAACUAAUAUUUUUCAUAGAACAUUAACAACCUUCUAACAUUUAAGCUGUUAACAGCCGCCAUCCUAGCCAACAUGUUGUACCAUCAAAUCUAUAAGAAUUUUUGAAGGAACAUUAGGCAAAGUUCUGGGAAUCUUGUACAGAGAGGAAACUAAGUUUAAAUAUCCAGAUAUGAUAUAUAAUGAACAGGUUACUUCAUCAGAAACUAAUUAACAGCUCUACUAAAUGUCAACUAUUUUUUUUGAGCUCAAGGAAAAUAAAGUCAGCUAAACUUAUUCUGUAAUAAUAGUGCUUACUAUAGCAAUCAUACGUGCCAUACGUAUCUUGGACCACAGGUGGACCAAUUACGGAGAAUGAGGGAUAUUUCAUAUUAAAAAUCGAAGGGUGUGAAACUUUAAUUUUAAUAUAUCCCUGCAAAGUUUGAUGAGAAAGUUCGGUCAAAUUUAUGAGAUAUUCAAAAGGGCAAACACCUUGAAGACAAUCCGUUAAUUUCAACGUGCAUUAGAUAUGCACGCUGAUUUAGUCAUUUUAAGCAAUUCUGUCCACAUUUUGCCUUUUUGUAGGAUAUAACUCCCAUUUUGGUGGAAGUGAGGAAAAGAACAACCUACGGAUCAUUUGCGCUACUAUUUUUUCUUCCUCAACAUUUCUCUUGAACAAUUUAAUAUUCGGUUUCGGAAUUCUUCCAUUUUGGCGCUGGAGAAACUUCUCCCGGCUUGUAAGUGCACAGGGGGUUAGAGGAUGCCAACGUGGCGCCCUAAAGGACCCAUGGACUUUGCCUGAGGGCAAUCUGUCGUCUGACUCUGUAUUAGACGAAUUAUCAACUAUCUGACUAAGGAAAGAACUCGUAAAGUGCAAGGUGACCUGCACGCCUCGCCUAUUUGAUUUGUGACUCCAUCACGGUACUUGAAAUACAUAGAUUAAACUUUGUCCUGGCCACGUCAGGACAAUAAUCACAUGAAUCGUAUCAGCACCACUCGAGGAUUAAGGUUCAAUGCUAACUGUAAUUGUUGGGUAACCAAAGAGAGAGUGUUGUUCACGAGUAGUUUUCCGGUGACAAUGUGGUGUUGCGGUCAUAGCAGCUGUUUGUGCGGUUGUCUCUCUAGACGAUUACCAACCCAGGAGAGGAGAGAACGCCUCAACGCCUGGCAUUGACCUGCGCGUUGCGCUGCGACUGGUGUGGCUCUCCGAUUUGUCCUGUCAAGCUGACCAAUGGACUGGUCGUCAGUCCUGGGCUCCUGGCCAAAGCCGGCUAGAGCUUUCACCUGGUUGCCUAUCAGUUUCACCUGGUAGCUAAUCAACUGGCACGAUUCGCGCAACCCUUUUGACCGUUCCUCAUCAACUCCCAAGUCAUGCUUCCCGCCAACGAGCUGGCUGCCAAAGUUUCCGAACGGAUCUCACUGUUUCAGACUGAGUCGCAUGUGGUGUGCUUAACAAAGCCUACUCGAGACUCAAACAAGAAAUCUUUCGGAUACAUACGGACUGAGUUAGUGCAGUACACGCUUCUGUUGUAGCCUUCUAGGGCAAGAGAGUGUGUCUCACUGAUGGUCUGAUGCCUACUGCUCGAGCAUGCCAACCUUCUUCUAGAUGGCAGAUCGAUUGGUCGUGUUCAACAGGUAUGAAACUGUGAACCGAUCGAGAUGCCUGCCCAUCUCGCCCGUCAAAGAAAGGGAUUGAUGGUAAUGGAAUCACUUGCCUCCUAGGAAGCAAACUAGAGGAGCUUUUACAAGUCCAUCCGGUAGAUACUGUCACAAAGAUUGCAGCAGCUAGCACGACUUGCCGACUUGGCUCCUUCAGAGGAAGUGUUCGACAACAUUGUCACAGCACAGGUUGAGCAUCAGACACCAGCACACCUGUUGAGUAUUCCCCAUGUCUAGACGGAGAAAAAAACCGCUCUGAAAACGUGUGACGCUGAGUCACUGACCCGCGCUUGUCACCUGACUGCGCUGCGUGAAAUGCGCGGACGCAGUGCCAGUCGCCAACGACGACGGCUGCUUGCUGACGAUGCAUGCGGUCGCUGGAUGGCGGUAGCAUAUCCAGUUAGUGCAGUGGCAUGGGGAGACGGAGAUUCAGUUCGCAUGCUUAGCUCUCUGGCGUCGUGUGUCCUUGAAAAUAAUUUUAGAUCCGGGAUCAAACGAUAAUAUGGUAACAAGCUGUUAUGAAUGUGCAUAGCUUUACACAUGUAGUGAUGGAUGGAUGAUUAUUUGUAUGUGGAAUUAAUUCGCCCGGUUAUAUAGUCGCCGCUCUUGAUAGGUGGAAACCUGAAAGAGAUGUAAAAAUUUAGAAGCAUGAGAAGCAACUGCAAAUGGAACUGCCAAAUGUUAAGGUGAGAGAUGAGGACCUCGGUGGAUCUGCCUCGCUGCAACAGCUUUCCAAGCACUCAACCACUGUAUCAGAGUUUGGGUCAAGAAAGAAAGCCACCUGAUCACAUUCAAAAACCUGUGUAAAGGGCUAUUCUGCUCCUUAAACGCGAGCUGAAAUUCUUUAAGUAGGAAAUGUGAAUAUACUCACCGAAUACCGCUCUUUACCAACAGCAACAACACGAUGCAGUGUAGAUCUACAGGUUACAGGUUAACGCAUAAGCAUAACAAUCAAAUUCAUAUCCAAGGUUUUCUUGGAUAAUGAAUCAACACAGGUGAUGAAGGAUGAUACCUGAAAACACAAUUUGUCCACCUUUCUAGCAAGUCGCCAAUAUUAACAAUAAGGGCCCUACGAGCAACGCAAGAACUGAUAAGAUCAUACUGUACCUGCAAGCAAUUAUCUGAAGAACAGUAGAACACCCAAACAGAGGUCUAGAAGUUAACAGAUAACAAAAUAUUCUCUGUAGAUGGCACCAAACUGCUAUAUUAGAGUUUCUAUUCAUGGAAUCCAUAAAAUGAGCAUUUACCCAUCAAUGUGAUGAACAUCUUCCCAUAGCUGAGGAUCCCUAUCCUUCUCCCUGCAUAUCUGCACAAUCCUAACAACGUAAGAAACCAUAACAUAAUACAAAAUAUGAUGAUUGAUGAAGCCACCUUGUCUACUUCAUUAAACAAGAGCUAAUGUUCCAUUUGGGAGUGGCAAUAGUACAUGAGUGAUUAGGUACAAAAUUUGAACAAAACUGAAGGCGAUGAACUAAAUUGUUUCAGAACAGAUAGUAUACCUGCAAGCCAGGAGUACCAUCUGUUACUAAAAGAGUUAUUGCACCAUAGUCUGAGUGAGCUGAUGCACCAUAGUUUCCACUAUCAGACUCAUUUACUUCACCUGUGUUGAAUCAAUAAAAUGGGAAUACUAUGUAAGCACAUAACACAAAGUUGCUCAAUGGCUCCAUAAUACAAAAGGAAAAGAAAACACUCAGAUUAUCAAGACUACAGUGCCUAGAAGAAACUUAAAGACGCCCUGUGCUUUUGUCUGUCUGUGCCCCCACUUACCGUAUAAAAGAAGACCAGAAAACAAAGCUACACAGCAAGCUUAUAUACCUUACAUCCACAUUGCUUAAGUGAGUAUCCUUCAGUAACGAAGGCUGCACUCCAGUACACAGCAGUAAGAUGGAUACUUUGAACUAUCAGCAAGAGAGGUGCACGGCUCUGCAUAUCAUCUGCUGGCAGAUGCUAGUACACUAACUAUGAACAUGUUCAAAUAAAUUGAAAGUAUUUUUUAAUAACAUAUGGAUUUAAGUUCACACCAGUUUCAGUAGAAAAUAAUGAGAUCAUGCAAGUAUAAAUAUGUGACUGGCCCUUUCCAGUAAAUAUUUAGUGGACACAUUAGUUAUGCUCCCCAGCCCCAACCAGGCAAGCAACAAAAACUAGGACAAUGUCUUCUUAAUUCUUUAGAGUAACAUAGGCAUCCAUAUAUGUUCUAUAGUAGAACAAAUUUGCUAAGCAUUCAAGAAAAAAAGAAGACCUGUAUUUCCAUUUGUGUAGUUUCGCUAUUAUAAUUAUCUACGGGAGCAUGAGAAAUUCGUAAAGAAGUGCUGGACCAUUUGAGAAGAAUCACAAAAAAAAAGAUCAAGAAUGGAGUGCGCCAUUUCAAAAAUAUUACAAUAAACUUUGAUUCUUCCCUAUUGAUAUAGAAAAAAAAUGGAGUACUGUAACCUGGGUAAUGUAAUAAACGAAGAAAUGUUGACGGGCAGUCCAAUGCACCAAUUUUGUGAAAGAAUUCAGCAUCCAAAUCCAAACCCAAAGCAAUUAGAGAGAGUAUCCUUUCGCCAGUAUCCCUAAUAGGGAAUAACCAAUAAUAAUAAUUAAUAGACAGUUUAUCAGAUAUAUAAAUGUUUCUUCCAGAACUUUCUUUUUUAGGAAUCAACGUUUUUCUAAAGCUUACAGAGCAGUUGCAAUGUACAACUUCAUUGUCUCCUUCCAAGACGGAAAGCGCUCUACCGAUAGCCAAAAAAAAGAAGGAAAUGUUAAAAGCAUAGGCUACUGAUAACAUGAAUGAUGUCCAUGGAUAUGAUGCAGGCUGACAGACAGCAUUAUUAUCAGUUGUUAACAGAUGGCAAAGCAUAUAAGAACCUUCAGAAGGCCAUUGGUUUAGAUCAUUCUGAAGAUCACUGUCCCCAAUAGGCCCAAUGUAGAAACUCUCCUUGAGGUCUCCUGUAAUAUCACAAUUCAGAAAAGCAAUAGUAGAUUAAACUAUACAUUUUUUUAUGAAACAUAUUUUUUUAGCAAAAGAUCUGCUUCUCUUACAUAGGUAUAUUAUUACAGGGAGGAGUCAAAAGCUCCAAAAAUCGCCUAAGAGCAGAUUCAACUAUAUCACUAAAAGCACCAGAAAUGUAAGUGGUAAUGGUAAAGUCUAUGAAAUGCAGCUGUAGCUUCAAGCUACAUGUGACAAUGACAUGCCGAAUGGGUUCUUCAGUACUUAUCCAUUCUCCAUGGAAUUAUCCUGAACCCACUGUAUCUAGUCCCAAGUUUCACACACAGCCAAAUCAGUUAACUGAAGCAAGGCAGGUUCCACGAUAUGAAUUUUGUAGCUACCACCAGGAGAAAACGAGCAAUAACGACAUAUUUUCUGACAUAAACAGGGACAUCAUGGUUCUAGUUCAGUUUUAGCUAUCACAGCCGGUGAGCCAUUCUAUACAACAACAAACUAAAUGCUAUGGAAACACUGCCGGUGGAAACAGUAAAUCCUCCAAAUUUUCUAAUCUUAAGAAGAGUACUAAUUUCCAUCGGUGAGGCACUCCGGCACCACCUGACCACUUGCCGUUAUUAAAAGUUUAAAACACCUGCCAUGUACUAAGCAACAGCAGUGACAAUUUUAGUGCCCAGACCAAAAUUCGUACACCAAGUGCAGAGGAGAAGCAGACGAGGCCAGAGACAUCCAACCUACGAACUCGGAAGCGGCGUCGAGCUUCUCGGCGUAGGGCGGCGUGUACCCCCGGUGGUUGGUCCUAUGCAGCUUCAACUUCUCCUCCAUCGGCAGGUCGAAGAACCCCUUGCUCUCGGCCAGCACCGCCUCGACCAGGGCGCGGUCCACUCCGUGGUUGGUGACGUAGAAGAACCCGUGCUCCACGCACGCCUGCACGAACCAGAUCGCUCGUUAGAGACGCGCGUGCGCGCUCGGUCGCUGCGCCCACGAAGCAGAGAGACAUCGCUGGAGGCGCGGGGAGUUCGAAGGCACGGGGAAUCGAGCGAGGUCACCUGGCGGACGGAGGCGGCGGCGGCGCGGAGGUCCGAGGACGCGAGGUCCACCACGGGGAGGUCCACGCUCCCCGACAUCGCCGAUCUCUGAGCUGCAGCGGAACCGGAACGGAAGCGCUGCUGAUUUGCUGCCGUGGUGGCGUGGCGUAGCUGGAGUUGGGGACUGCGCUGCGCCUCCAUUCAUUUGGGCGGGCUGCAUCUAUGUGUCGGCAUGGGCUGAAGUCAGCACUGGGCGUGGGCUGAAACUUGAUAGCAGGCUUACUGCGUAUGCGCAAAAGCCCAAUAGUGUUUUUUUCCGGUCGAAAGAGCACGUGCUGCUGUUUGGUUGAAUUCUGGAUCAACCUUACCAUCGCACACACCGACUGCGUCACCUCACUACCUCAGCAGUCGAGACUCGAGACUUGUCAGUUGCCCAACCUCCACCGAAUUCCAGUGCUAUCACACCCGGAGAGAUCUCUCAAGUAUCCACAGUCAGCAGUCACGUAGUAGCAGACUAGCAGUCGAGACUACGCUCGAGUGCAUGACCACACCAGGGUGAGCUCGACACGAAAAGGACUCGCGGCACACCGCGCGCACCCGCAUCGACGUGAUAGCGUUUCGUCUCGUGACGAAGCGACGAGGAGGCAUUCUGGAAUCCGGAUAACUUGCGCGGCUCACUCUGCUUACACGGUGGCUUCUUCAACUGCCUCCCCACUCCAUUCCAUGUGUGACUGAAAGUGAGGUAGAGCCAAGCGAAAGGGAAAAUGGAACGGGGCCAGACCCCCACGCAACAAUCUCCCAGAGCUCGAUCCGGAGCCGGAGGGCACGCACAUCGCACAUGCCUUCACUUUCCCAGGCCCCGCGCCUUUCGUGUCCGCCGACGAAAGCCUCGGCGAAAGGGCUCGCGCUGCCGUGCCUCUUCCGGAGCAGCGCCACCUGCCGUGCCAUUGCCAUGCCUCUCACCUCACCCUGUCACCGAACACGACCGGACGAGAGCAGGACGAAACCGUGAUUAGAUUAGAUUCCAUUCCAUCCACUAGGUCCUGCGCUUCCAUCAGGGGGUGAGAACAUUUUCAGAAAAGAAAGGGACGUGUGCUCGGCUAAUCUGGGCUAGACUACCUUCGCAGCGACGCAAGCAAUAAUGGUGAUGGACCGUGCCUACGAGAUCGAGGGUUGUUGAGAUACACUGUGCACAAAAAGCACAGGUUGUUCACAAACUGAAAAAAGGCGCUACCUUUGAUCCAUUGAGGUGGUGCAGUGUAUCUUUGCCUCCACCAUCCAGCUUCUCUUUUACUUCUCUCCGAGAGGAACUAACUUCUCUUUUACGGUGUAUAUGGCCACAGCUAAUUAGUAUAUAUAGCCAUGAUCCAUUGAGUGUGAAAGCGAAACUAUGCAAGUGACAGACAUCAUCAAACAAAAAAGGAAAGUCCUUGCUAGAGUCCUCCAAAGAAAAUUACGAAUUGAUGGGGAGUCCUCAAACAACAAAUAUCAAGGUCUAGUUUUGGGGGUUGCUUCGUUGUCCAAGCUCCUGCUUCAAGCUUCAUUAACAAUUGUGCACCAAGGUAGGCAGUGCACAAAGAGACAGUAACUCCUGUCCGGAUUCUUGGUAGCGUUCAUAACUGAGCUGGGUGGUUUGUUUUGCCUUGCUGGAAAGAAGAAGAUGCAGCCAUCCUGAAUGAGGGAGGAUUUUAAGCACAUCAUCACCCUACGGUUUCCGGCAAGAGGCCGGAAAAGACGGUGGGUGUUUCUAACCGCUACAAGACCAGUUGGUGACACUGAAUGAACUUUUUUCACUAAUUUCUGGUCCUAUGCUCCUACAUCAAAUGGAGUGGAACACUACACCCGCUGGAUAGCUCACAAAGCUACCACAACACCAUCCCAAAGUGACCGAGACCAGGCCCCAACUGCAGUCACUAACAAUGUGCACUCAAAGUCUGCUGAUGGCCCUUCCACUAAGACAGCAAAAGGACUGAAGCCUCCACUAUAUAAAGAACAGGAAGCACCGCUGCUGGAAAGGAGCCAGAGCUACCAAAAGCACAUCACCCUGAAGAUUUGCAGAGCCAUCUCCGUGAGCGGAGGGCCGGAGGGUCGGAGAGAUGCUGGUGUUGGACUUGGGCGUAUGGUUCAUCCCACUGACGCUCGUCCUCGUCCCGUGCCGCCGGAUCGUGCUUCUCCUGUCCAGGCUCGAGGAGCUCCGCCGGAUCAUGGCGCGGCCGAGGCUCGCCACCGCGGACAUCUGGACCCGCUUCGCCACCCUCAACUCCAUGGCUUUCAUGGUGUGAUGGUACACACGCCGCCGCCGCUCCAUCCAUAGCUGUUUCCUCAUUGGUUGGGUGUGCUUUGCUGUCCUGGUUUUUGGCUUAUCACAAUAAGCCCCAGCUUCUGGGAAUGAUAUGUACAUACGGCUACUUACUUUUAGGACUUGCCGCAGCAUGUGUAUGUGGGACGAGAUGCAGAUGAGGACUUUAUUUACAGUGCUUCUGACAAGAGUUUCCUGAUCUUUAUAUGAUGCGUGUAUACUUGCUUCAAUUUCAACCUGAGGUUUUUCUGAACAAGCAUGCUUUUGUAGUUUUUGUUAUCGCCUGAUGAUAGAAUUUUCUGCAUAUCUUGAGUUGUUAUCAGUUUAUCACCUGAUACAAUAAGAAUAGUUGGCAGAGCUGGAUCUUUCAGGGGAAGGGAUAAAAGAUGCAGUGGGCAAAUUAUUGCAUCAGUCGGCAUGAACAGGCCUGAGAAGAUAAGGAUCAAGCUGGGCAGAUUCUGCUGAUUUUGAAAAGCAUCCCGUGCUUAGAUAACAUGAGAAGCCGGUCGCUGUGAAACGGAACACUGGACAGCAGACCAAUAUAAUAAGUGGUCUACCUUGGACGAAUGUCUUCCUUGGCCCCCUAAAAGAAAAGAUAUACAUUGUGCUGUCAUCGUUUAGAUGAUGAUAAGGUCGACCCACAGGCCACUAGAGCACAAACUCCACCGAGGCACUGAACAAUGCCUAAACUAGACUCAUCAUUCUGCAAAAGAUGUGCCUUACCAACAGUCAACUGAUCAAACUGGUUUUCGAUAGCCGUGCGUGUAAGGAAGGAGGAAACUAGGGAUGGCAACGGGGCGAGUCGGGGUAGGGUGAAGCUUCCGCGGACCCACCCUCGAAACACGAAUUGUAAAUACGUCCCGAACCGAAACACCAAUUGGGUGGAAAUGUUGCCCCGACCCC
Molecule: long non-coding RNA, 59484 nt
Filed under: Setaria italica (foxtail millet)
Lineage: Eukaryota; Viridiplantae; Streptophyta; Magnoliopsida; Poales; Poaceae
Description: long non-coding RNA (SITA_LNC007061)
Source: RNAcentral